AGCAGUAUAACCAAAAGUUCCUGCAAAUGAAGUCCAAUUAGAUGAGUCCGACUUUAAAAGCCUAGCUGUGCCGAAGUCAGAUACAUGAGCUUCAUAUUCUGAAUCUAACAAAACAUUGUUACUUGAUAUGUCUCGAUGAAUUAUAGGAGGUGAGCAAUCAUGGUGCAUAUAAGAUAAAGCUUUAGCCACGCCUUUAACAACGUUUAGCCUCACAAUCCAAUCUAAUUUUUCUGCUUCUUCGUCGUUUCUUAGAAUGUUUCGCAAGCUUCCCUUUUCCAUAAACUCAUAAACCAAAAAUGAGUUCUCUGCAAAUAAACUGAAGCCAUAAAGCUUGACGAUACUGCGAUGCCUUAUCUGUGUUAAAGCAUGAAUCUCGCUUUUGAAAGCUUUCAAAUCAGCCAUAUCUCCAUCUUGUGAUGAGUGAAGCUUUUUCACAGCAACAACCCGACCUGUUGGCAACUCAGCCUUGUAAACAGUACCAUAUCCUCCAGUGCCAAUACACUGCUUCGAACUGAAAUUGUCGGUCCCCUGUAUGAUGUGUUCAUACAGCAAUUCCCCAUCAUGGCCCCAUAUUGCAAAUAGAUCUUCAACAUCUGCUUCUGGAGAUUUGGUUUUUCUCUUCCUCAAUUUUUGGAAAAGAAAAAAAAUGCCAAUAACAAAAGCAAAUAAGAACAAUAGACUGCUCACAAUGAGGAGUAUUAUGAUCAAAAUAGAAAACUUGUUGGCCUUCUUUCGACUAGCACUACAUGGCUUGAGAUGAGUGACAUUAUUACCACACAGACCUUUAUUAUUUUUGAAUGCCUCAAAUGGAGCAAAGGCUUUGAUGUUUGGGAGAGGACCUUCCAAUUGAUUGUAGGAUAUAUCAGCAACUGUCAAACUUAUCAAAUCAUCAAACGUGUGUGGGAUGGUACCAGAUAGCCCAUUGUGGGAGAGAUUCAACGUUUCCAGGUUCUGUAAUUCUCCAAGCAGCGGUGGCAUCUCUCCUGUCAACAUAUUUUGACUAAGAUCGAGACUUCGAAGAUGAUGCAUCUUUCCAAUUUCGUCAGGAAUGCUAUCCACAAAUCUAUUCUCGCUCAAGUUCAAGGACCAUAAUUUCCAGAAGUUUCCCAGUUGCUUGGGAAUUGGACCGCUUAAGUUGUUUGAUGCCAAGUCAAGGAUUUCAAGAUUGGAUAAGUUUCCCAAUUCCAGAGGAAUACUUCCUGAAAGUUUGUUGUUGCCUAGCAACAACUUGAACAGUAAAGGAAGCAUACCCAAUUCUUUUGGGAUCUUCCCAAUUAGAUGAUUUGAGGAGAGAUCAAGUUGUUGCAGUUGAAUUGCUUUCCCAAGUUGAGGUGGUAUAGCACCAGAAAUUUUGUUAUUGGAGAUGUUCAGGUUUGUGAGCAUGUGGCACUCCCCCCAUUUCUCAGAAAGGUCACCAUACAAAUUGUUACUGCUCAGAUCAAUAUAAUUUAGAUUAGGGUAUACACCAAAACUUUCGGCUAUGUCUCCAGUAAGUUGGUUAUUUUCAAGCCUAACUCUGAAUAAGCUAGUGCAAUUUUUCAAGCUCUUUGGAAUAGGACCAGUGAAAUGGUUCCUUUGGGCUGAAACUUUUUCAAGAGCAUUACCAAGGCAUAUCUCUUGUGGUAGGUGGCCAGUGAAGUUAUUCUCACCUAUCUGCAAAGAUUUCAAAUGAGUGAUAUUAUUCAUUUCUCGAGGAAUGGCACCACUAAGUUUGUUGGAAUGAAGAGCCAAAGUGGUUAAGCUGGACAAGUUUCCUAUAGAAGCUGGUAUUGAACCAAUGAGAUUGUUAAAUGAUAAGUCAAGAAUAUUAAGCAAUCUCAACAAUCCAAUUUCUUGAGGGAUAUAACCAAAAAGGCCAUUUUGAGAAAGAUACAAGGUGGUUAAGUUCCUCAAGUUUCCUACAAAAGAAGGGAUUGGACCAGUGAGAUUAUUACUUCCCAACUCAAGAACUAUAAGAGAUCUCAGUAACUCAAAUUCUUGAGGGAUGAAUCCAGAAAGUUUGUUACCAUAAAGAUAUAAAAGGCUUAACUUGGACAAGUUUCCUAAGGAAGCUGGUAUUGAACCGCUAAGAUUGUUGUCUGCCAAGUCAAGAUUCUCAAGUGAUGUCAAUAAUCCAAUUUCUUUAGGAAUGGAGCUAGAAAGUUGGUUACCAUAAAUGUAUAAAAUAAUUAAGUUCUUCCAAUUUUCUAUGGAAGUUGGUAGUGAACCAUUGAGAUUGUUAUAUGACAAGACUAGAUAAUUAAGAGAUCUCAACAAUGUAAUUUCUUGAGGAAUAGAACCAAAUAGAUUGUUUGAAUUAAGGUACAAAGUGGUUAAGUUCCUCAAGUUACCUAUGGAAGAAGGGAUUGGACCAAUGAAAUUGUUAGUUGACAAAUCAAUACUAGUAAGAGAUCUCAAUAAUCCAAUUUCUUGAGGAAUAAAACCAGAUAGUUUGUUUCUCAGAAGGAGCAAAGUGGUUAAAUUCCUCAAAUUACCUAUGGAAGGAGGGAUUGAGCCAAUGAGAUUAUUAGUUGACAAAUCAAUAACAUUAAGAGAUCUCAACAAUCCAAUUUCUUGAGGAAUAGAACCAGAUAGGUUGUUUGAAUUAAGGUACAAUGUGGUUAAGUUCCUCAAGUUCCCUAUGGAAGGAGGAAUUGGGCCUUUGAAAUUAUUAGAAGACAAUGCUAGAAAGCUAAGAGAUGUUAGAAAUCCAAGUUGGUCAGAUAUUACACCAAUGAAAUGAUUGAAACGAAAGUCCAAAACUAUGAUCAGUUUGGAAAGAUUGCCAAUGUUGAUUGGAAUGGUUCCAUAGAGGGAGUUGUUAUAAAGAUUAAGAGUAAGGAGGUUGGAAAGUGAUGAAAAAUUGAGAUUAUGGAGUGUACCUCUCAAACCGCAACUUUGAAGGUCUAAACUGGAGACACUUCCUGACCUGUGACAAGUCACUCCGAACCAAUGAUGGCAAGAAUUGCGUCCAGACCAAGAAAAGAGGAAAGAUUGGGUUUGAUUAUCAAGACUAGCCUUCCAUGUUAGAAGAGCAAGUGCUUCUUGAUCUUGUUCAACUUUCGAAAAAGAAGUGAUAGGUGUAGAGGCAAAUGUAAAAGUGACAUGGAAUGAUGAUAUUGAGUACAAAAGGAAAAGGAGAAAUAUGAAGAAGCAAGGAGUGAUGAUGAGUCGGGGGAGUAAGGAGUAGGAUGAAGGACAUCCAAGGGUCAUUGUUGAAUUGGUAGAAAUGAAGUUAUUAGGGGUUUACUUGGAGGGAAGGAAGAAGAUGAAACACUUAUUUAUAGGCUUAAAUGUGAUACAUCCAAUAUUUCCAUUGGUUUGUGUUGGCAUCCAACUACCUCAUUGGUCUACAAUUAAUGGAAUUGAAAAGGAUCAGAGUAUAUACAUUAAUUCAAUUCCACACUUAUUUUAUUUUAUUUUAUCACUCUUAAUUUUUUAAUUAAAAUGAAAUUAUUAAAAAUAUUCCUUUUUCACUCCAUUCACUUUUAAAUAUAAUUUGUUUGAAAUUAAUAAUUACAAUUCUUUCUAAGAAGUAAGGAUCAAAUAUGCUCAUGUCAAUAUCCUAGUUGAUAUAGGAAGUCCACUUGAGCAACAUUACUUGUACAUGUGCCUUUAUAUAAGCCACUUGAUAUUUUUUUUUUCAAAAAUUAAUAAAUAUAAGCUUUAAUGAGAGCAAAGAGAAUCGGGUACAUAUUUUAUUAUUAAAAAAUCUGCCAUGAAAUUUUUUUUGGUAGGCUUACGUUUUGCAUAAGAUAUAUAUAUUCAUUUUGCGUCAAGAAAUUGAAAAACAAAAAUUGAUUUAUUUGUUACUUAUAAAAUAAUUGAGAUCAUGCAUGGAAUUGCAUCUCAUCAAUUCUUCAUGAAGAAUUGGCUUGUAAGAAAUUGAUAUUUUUAAAUAUUUAAUUAGAAAUAUGUAAUAUUUACUAAGUUGAUUACAUUUCUUCUUUAAUUUGGUUUAGGUUUCUAAAAUUAUUAGUUCUCAAAUAUCUUAUUUUAAUUGUAUUAGAUAAGAAUAUAUAUAUAUAUAUAUAUAUAUAUAAUUAUCAUUUUCACGAUAUUGUUAAAUUACUCAUUUCUAGAAUUUUUAUUAUGUUAACAAAUGUUAAUAGUUUGAAAUAUUUGAAAAUAUGUUCAUUACCAUUUUUUUUGGUCAAAUUAUUAGUCUUGAAAUAUUUUUAUCAUAAUUAUAUAAAAUAAAAGCAAAUAUAAUAAACUUAAAGCAAAUAUAAUAAACUUAACACUUAAGAACAUUUAGAUAUCACUUUAAACAAAUAUAUUAUUCAAAGUCAUCCAUCUAGGUAUUACAUAAAUGAAGUUAUAGUUAACAUUCAUAUUAAAAAAUAAAUAAAUGUUACCUAGUAGUACGACAUAACCACACCAUUGUAGCUGAACUUUUCUUCUCUAAGUAGACUUCUUAUGAAAACUUUAUUUAUUUUUAGACUGCAUUCAAAUAAGGAUGUAUUGUGAAUUAAUUAGUAACUAGUAAAAUUUGCUUGUACUGUUUAUUAUUAUUAAAAGAGAUUUCUUACUUAUCAAUUAAAAUUACAGAUGUUGAUAUGAACAUAAAAUUCCCUUUUCAACUACAUGCAUUUCUAAUCAAGAUUUUUGUUGUUUUCAAUAGAGUGGAAUAGUCAUUGGUUUACUAGUUCUUAUCAAUAAUUGUUUUCAAGAAUCUAGACCCAAUAUUCAUAUCAUCAAUGGUAGCCAUCAAUUAUCCUAGUUGACGUGAGGGGUCUAAUCAAGGUGAAGUGUAUAUGAGCUUCAUGUAUUAAAUCUUACUAUUAAAAUAGAAAGUGAGGAUUGAAUCCAUUGUAUUAAGGCUAAGUAGUAGCCAUUACAAUGGUGGAACCUAGAUUUUUUUUUUCCUUUUUAAAAGGUAAAAUUUGUAUUGAAACUUCAUCUAUGUCAAGGCAUAGCACAAAUGAAGGGUGGCAUGCUUUCAAGUAGAAAUAAAAUAGAAUUUCAUUUUCUAAAUAGGUUAUUUUACCAUUGUUGUAAAUAAUUUCUUUUACUUCUUCCUUCCCAAGAGUCAAGAACUCCAGGAUAAUUGCUUCACAAUAUUUCCCAUCCAAUCAUUCCCAUCAAUUCUUCAUGAAGAAUUGGCUUGUAAGAGACUGAUUUUUUUUUUUUAAGUAUUUAAUUAGAAACAUGCAAUAAAAUGAUUAUACUUUUUCUUUAAUUUGGUUUAGGUUUCUAAAAUCAUUACUUCUCAACUAUCUUAUUUUAAUUAUAUCAAAUAAAAAUAUAUAAUUAUUAUUUCUUAAGAUGGUACUGUUAAAUUACUAAUUUUUAAAAUAUUUAUUAUUGUAACACAUGUUAAUAUUUUGGAAAAGAAAUUAUUACUAUUUUUUUUUCAAACAAUUAGUCUUGAAAUAUUUUUUUAAUUAUAAAAAAUAGAAACAAAUAUGAUAAUUAUUUUUGUAUAGAUAAUGAUACUUAAUUAGUAAUUUUUAGAUAUUCGUAGCAUGUAAAAAAAAAAAAGUAGACUUGACAUUUAAGAACAUUUAGAUACCACUUUAAGCAAAUAUAUUAUUCAAAGUUAUACAUCUAGCUCUCCUAGAUUUAAGUUAAAUAAAUGAAGUUAUAGUCGAAAUUCAUAUUAAAAAAUAAAUGUUACCUAAAAUUAAUUCCUAUGAUAUUGUAGUGGAACACAAUUUUUUUUUUCCUUUAAGUAGAAUUAUAUGAAAACUUCAUUUAUUUUUAGUGUAUAUUAAAAUAAUGAUUUGUUUUGAAUUAAUUAAGAAACUAAAAAAAUUAUUUGUACUCUUUAUUAUUAUUAAAAAAUAUUUCUUACUUAUCAAUUAAAAUUAUAUAUUUACAUAUGAAUAUAAAGUUCCCUUUCCAAUUGCAUGUUUUUAGUCAAGACUUUUGUUGUCUUUGAUAGAAUGGAAAAGUCAUUGCAUUCCUAAUUUUCUUAUCAACAAUUGUGUGGAAAAGUUAUUGCAUUCCUAAUUUUUGUCAACAAUUGUGUGCAAAAGUCAUUGCAUUCUUAAUUCUUUUGCACAAUUGUUUUCAAAGAAUCUACAUCUAAUAUUUACAUUAUCAAUGGUAUAUGUCAAUGAUCCUAAUUCAUGUGAGUGGUCUAAUUGGAGUGAAGUAUAUAUCAACCUCAUUUAUUAAAUCUUAGUAUUAAAAUAAAAAGUAGCGCUUGAAUACAUUGUAUCAAGGCUUUAGGAACAACAUUAUUAAUGCUGGGAAUCUAAAUCAAAUGAAAAGAUUUCUUAUUUGUCAAUUUAAAUUACAUAUUUAGAUAUGAAUAUAAAGUUUUCUUUCCAAUUGCAUGCUUUUAGUCAAGACUUUUACCGUCUUUAAUAGGGUGGAAAAUUUGUUGCAUUCCUAAUUCAUAUCUACAGUUGUAUGGAAAAGUCAUUGCAUUCCUAAUUCUUGUCAACAAUUGUGUGGAAAAGUCAUUGCAAUUAAAUACACUGUAUCAAGGCUUGAGGAAUGACAUUAUUAAUGCUGGGAAUCAAAUCAAUUGAAAAGAUUUCUUAUUUGUCAAUUAAAAUUACAUAUUUAAAUAUGAAUUUAAAGUUUUCUUUCCAAUUGCAUACUUUUAGUCAAGACUUAUACCGUCUUUAAUAAGGUGGAAAAUUUGUUGCAUUCCUAAUUCAUAUCAACAAUUGUGUGGAAAAGUCAUUGCAUUCCUAAUUUUUGUCAACAGUUGUGUGGAAAAGUCAUUGCAUUCUUAAUUCAUAUCAACAAUUGUGUGGAAAAGUCAUUGCAUUCCUAAUUCUUAUCAAUAAUUGUUUUCAAGGAAUCUAUACCUAAUAUGCACAUUAUCAGUGGUAGACGUCAAAUGCAAAUAAUUUCUUUUGCGUCUUGAAGAUUUUUACUUCAUAAUGUUGAGCAAAGAUGCAUCUAUUUAAGAGUGGUUUGUACUUUUUAUAAUAGGUAUUGUGAAAAAGGAUAUCUUCAAAAUGUAAAUUUUGUUAAUUUUUUCAAAUAAUAUUGCAUUAUUUUAAUUCAAUUUUCAAGUUAAUUAAAAGUGAAACUUAGAUCAAGGAUUGGACAUAAUAACAACAUUUCCUAUUAAUAGAUUUAAUAAUAAAAAAGAUGAGUUUUUUUUUUCAAAUAUAUAUACGUCAAAAGAGAAUUUAUGUUAUGUUUUUCUUAAAAAAGAAAAGUUUCAUGACUGAAUAUACCACUCAAUUCAAUUCAAAAAACUUAUUUUUGAAUAUUUGUGGUUUAGUUCAAUUCCAUGACUAAAUAAUUGGCCAUGUUUAUUGGGAUUUAAAGUCUUGGUCAAACUUGAUGUAAUAUUUUAACUGCCAAUGAAAAAUAAAUAAAGUGAUAAAUUGACUAAGAGUCCAUUUGGAAAGUAGGGCCAAAAAUGGCUUCAAAUUCUUAAAGAUUAUGUUUUACUAAAAAUUAAUCAUUUGAAAAAAAAAAUUGUAAUCAUUUUAAAGUUAUAAAACAAUCGAGGGUACUUCUUAAAUAAAGACUUGAUAAAUACUUUUAAAAGACAUUAUAAAAAACUCGUGAAAAAUAUUUGAAUUUCAAAUAAAUGUUCUUGUUAAAAUAAAAAAAAAGAAUACAUUUUUCAAGCAUUUUUAUUAAAAAGACUUUCAAAUAUAUUUUUACUUGAUAUCCUUGAAUUGUUAAUACGAUUGUGAACUCCAUUUAAUUUUUUUUCUUUAAAAAGUUGGGCAAAUCAUAAAAAAUGGUAGGUCAUGUGUGAUAAUUCUUUUCAAGGAUCACCAUGUUUACAAGUUCAUGUUAGUCCUCAAGUAAUGAUUUAAAAGUUGACAAUUUCAUAAUUCUAAUUAUACCCUCUUUUAUAUUUUCCUCUUAUUCCCAUUCAACUUUACUUUCCUUUUUUUUUUUCUUUUAUAAUUUUUUUACUUAUUUUUGUUAUGAGGUAUUAAUAUUAUUGUUUAGAUAUUAGUAGAAUUAUUCAUGUUAUUAUUAAUAUCAUUCUUAUUAAUAUUAUUUAUUAUUUUUAUAAUUAUUAUGGACUUUAUUAUUCAUAUUUUUAAUAUUAUAGUAAAAAUAAUAUUAUUAUAUUUUUAUCAUUAGUACUACAAAGAAACCUGGAAGAUAAUUUAUAUUUUUUUUAAUUCUUAAGGCUUGUAAGCUUUAUUAAAAAAUUAUUUAUUUAUUUAUUUAUUUAUUUUGCCUUUUAUGCUUUAUAUGCUACAUUAAGACUAAUUAAAUUAUUAUUGCCACCCCAUUAAUAUUAUUAUUUAUGAUAUUAGUUUUAUAUAAUUAAUAAAACUAAUAUUAUAUCAAAGUUAUAGAUAUGACAAAAAUGCAUUGAUCUUACAACAUUAAUACUUUAAAUAUAUAAUAUAUUACGACAUAACCUAAUUUUAUUUUAAUUCUUUUUUUAAACAAACACCUGUGAAUACUUGCUCUAUACUCCUUAAAAUUUUCUAAAUGGCUUCAAAAUGUAAGCACAACAUUUAUAUAUUGUACUUAAAACAUAAAUACGCUAAAAUAUGAUGCAUUAUGACAAGCCUUAAGUUUACUUUUUAACAAUUAUAAAAACAAAUAUUUUUAUUGUAAUAUUUUCUUAAUAGUUCUAUUACAAAAUUAAACAUUUUUAAAUUGAUGAAAUCUAUAUAAUAAAAAUUAUAAUAGCUUUAUAUUUUUAAUUAUCAAAAUGAAACAAUAAUUUGUAAAUUUAAUAUAUUAUGAUUAUUAUUAUUAUUAUUAUUAUGGAUAAGUUAUUGAUAAUAUUUUUAAAAUUGUAAUUAAUAAAAUUGUAAUUUAUAAUUAAUGUUUAUAUUAUUUAUAUGGAUUGAUAUUAAUAAUAUUAUUACUUGAUAGCUUAAUAAUAAUAAUAAUAAUAAUAAUUAGAAAAGAAAAAGAGAAAAUAGAGAAAAGAGGGAUAUGCUUGGUUUUAAAGUGGAAAGAGUCAGAGUAUACUUAACUUUUUGUAUUUUGAGGCAUAUGGAAGACUUAUCAAAGUUGAUGACCUUUUUGGGACAUUAUCACCUAUAACUCAUCCUAUAUGGAAAUUUUCCCUAAAAUGUUUUACUAAUGGGUUUAAAAUCCCUCCUUAAAGCACAUGAGGAUAUUUAUGAACUAUUUGAAUGGAAAUUGGAGUUAAACUCAACCAUGAGAGUGACUUAGUUUAGUGGAAUAUAUAGUUAGAAGAUAAAUCUAACCCAACUCUCUCUUUACCUAUAAGACAAAACUCAUUUCUUUGUAUACUGAGAUGCAAAAAUUGCAUAUAAAUAGGCUCUUUUUAGUUAAAAUUGUGUUCCAUGAUCAUAUCACAGAUUAAGUUAAAUAAGAAGUAAAAAUUUCUAAAUUAAUUUUUUUAUUAAAAUGAUUUCUUAACUGUGAAGUAAAUUAAUCUUACAUAUGUAUGUAAAAAAAAAUUUACUUUUAUUCUUAUUAAAAUAGGUGGAGGUGUUUAAUAAUUCUCCUUAUCAAAUCCUAGUCCUAACCCUAAUUCUAAUCAUAAUUAUUUCUCAUUUCUUUUUUUUCCUUUUCUUCCAUUCUAUUAUAUUUAAAUACUUAAAUUAAAUCAUUAACUCAAUUUAUCAUAUUCAUCUUAACGUGAAAAACUUUUAAACCACUUAGUGAAUCCCCUCUGUUCAUUAUUCAUGAUUGAUUGAUUAAUGUAAAGAUAACAAUACUGUUUAUAUGUAAUUUAGAGACUCUCACCCUAGACUUAUACAUAUCAAUUGCUAUUAGAAAAAAAUAAAUAAAUAAGCACAAAAACAAAUUAAUUUUAAAACUAAAAAAUAUUUAUUUGUACUUUUAUUACUAUUAAAACAUAUUUCUUACUUGUCAAUUAAAAUUACAUAUUUACUUAAAGUUCCCUUUCCAAUUGCAUGUUUUUAGUAAAGACUUUUGUUGUCUUUGAUAGGGUGGAAAAGUCAUUGCAUUCCUAAUUUUUUUUAUCAACAAUUGUGUGGAAAAGUUGUUGCAUUCCUAAUUUUUGUCAACAAUUGUGUGCAAAAAGUCAUUGCAUUCUUAAUUCUUUUGCACAAUUGUUUUCAAAGAAUCUAUAUCUAAUAUUUACAUUAUCAAUGGUAUAUGUCAAUGAUCCUAAUUUAUGUGAGUGAUAUAUGUCAACUUCAUUUAUUAAAGCUUAGUACAAAAAUAAAAAGUAGCAAUUGAAUAAAUUGUAUCAAGGCUUUAGGAAGGACAUUAUUAAAGUUGGAAAUCUAAAUCAAUUAAAAAGAUUUCUUACUUGUCAAUUUAAAUUACAUAUUUAGAUAUGAAUAUAAACUUUUCUUUCCAAUUACAUGUUUUUAGUCAAGACUUUUUUCCGUCUUUAAUAAGGUGGAAAAGUUGUUGCAUUCCUAAUUCAUAUCAACAGUUGUGUGGAAAAGUAGUUGCUUUCCUAAUUUUUGUCAACAAUUGUAUGGAAAAGUCAUUGUAAUUGAAUACAUUGUAUCAAGGCUUGAGGAACAACAUUAUUAAUGCUAGGAAUCUAAAUCAAUUAAAAAGAUUUCUUAUUUUUUUAAUUACAAUUACAUAUUUAGAUAUGAAUAUAAAAUUUCCUUUCCAACUGCAUGUUUUUAGUCAAGACCUUUUUUGUCUUUGAUAGGGUGGAAAAGUCAUUGCAUUUCUAAUUUUAUCAAUAUGUAAUUGCGUGGAGAAGUUGUUGCAUUCCUAAUUCUUGUCAACAAUUGAAUGCAAAAGUCAUUGCAUUCUUAAUUCAUAUCAACAAUUGUGUGGGAACGUGGUUGCAUUCCCAAUUCUUGUCAACAAUUGUGUGGAAAAGUCAUUGCAUUCCUAAUUCUUAUCAACAAUUGUUCUCAAGGAAUCUAUAGCUAAUAUUCACAUUAUCAAUGGUAGACGUCAAUUGCAAACAAUUUCUUUUGUUUCUUGAUUUGCAAGACUCAAGAACUUGUAGAUUUUUACUUCAUAAUGUUGAACAAAGAUGCAUCUAUUUAAGAGCGGUUUGUGCUUUUUAUAAUAGGUAUUAUGAAAAAGGACAUGUUCAAAAUGUAAAUUUUGUUAAUUUUUUCAAAUAAUAUUGCAUUAUUUUAAUUCAAAUAAAGAAAAAAUGGUUUAAAAUACUCAAAAAUAUGUUUUACUAAAAAUUAAUCAUUUGAAAAAAAAAUUAUUGCUAAAAAAAAAAACACUACUUGGAGUGCUUCUUAUUGGAUAAACACUUGACGAUUAUUUCUUUUAAAAGAUAAAAAAAGUAUGAAAAAUACUAAUAUGUUAUAUAAAUAUUCAUUUUACAAAAAUACACUGUUCUAGUAUUUUUAUUAAAAACAAAGUAAAGAGGACAAUAUCUUCUAUAUGUAAUUUAAAUACUCUCAUCUAGACUUAGCUAUUAUAAAAAACAAAAACUUAAUGCACAAAAAUUGGAAUGAGGAAGUAAAAAUAAUGAUGAAAAUAUUAGUUUUGAUAGAUAUACUAGUAACUCGAUUUUACAGAUAUAUCAAGAUAUAUCGGAAAAUAUCGGUGUAACAAAAAUUGAUCAAAACUCAUUAAAAUGUUAAGAAAAAAUUAUAAAAAAAAAUGAUAUAAGAAGUAAUAAUUAAUAUUUUAAAGUUGUUUUGUUAAAGAAAUUAUUAUAUAUAUGAUAUAUUUUUUUUGUAUUUGAUAAUAAUGUUGUGUGCACCAAUAAAAAAUAUAAAUUUUAUAAAUAUACAUUCAUUACUGAGUUACAUUAAAUAUUAUUAGACAAUAAUAUUGUGACAUUUUAUUAUAGUAUAUCUAACUUCAAAAUAUAAUUAAUAUUAAAAUUAUGAUCCAUUUAAUUCAAUUAUAUUCAAUGAUAUAAAAUAAAUGAUAAUAUAUGAAUAAAUUUUUUAAUAUUUAUGUUUUUUUAUAUUUAAUUAAUAUAUAAAUGAGAUAUCUUAAGAAAAUUAUCACAAUAGUUUUUAUAUUUUUAGUGAUUAAUUAAAUGAAAUUUUAAAAUAAGAUGAUUAAAAUUAAUUUAUUUAUUAAAAUAUUCUUUGAAUGUUUUGCUUUUAUGAUGCAUUUUAGGUUUUUUUUUUUUUUUUUUUGGGUGCACUAAGUAUAAUAAAAGGGCAGGUUUGCCCAGUGGUGAAGCAAGGUUACUUUUGGACAUUUUGUCUUGACCAGUCUCAACACCUACCACAAGCCAACUUUAGGAUCAUAAAUAAUAGAUGAAAAAUAAUUAUUACAGUAAUAAUGAGGUUGUCAUUUUAUUUAAUUAAUCAACUAUUCUAGUUGUGGAAUGUACUAUGCAUAGGUUCCAUGAAUUAAAUUAUUGUAUAAAAUGUCUCAUAAGAAAAAUGCCGCUUGGCUUACUAUUUAUAAAUUUUUUUUAAUUAAUUAAAUUGUAUAAAUAAUUAUGAGUCCAAUAGGAUAUAUUUUUUUAUUUUAUAUUUAAAAAAAAAACAUUAACUUCUAUAUAAAAUAUAAAAAGUCUUAUGGUCUUAUAUGAAAAAUGCAGUGAUUUAUUUAAAUUGAUUAAAAAAUUGAGAGAUUAAAAAAAUUUUAUUACCUCAAAUUUUAAUAUAUAUUUUUAGAAAAAUAGAAACAUAAGGUAAAUUCAUACUUUUUAUAUAAAAUUUUUUAUUUUUUAUAUAAAAGUUUUUAUUUUCAAAAACAAAAAAAGAAAAAGAAAAUAUAUCUAAAUGAAGUUUAAAUACUUAAAUUAAAUAUAAUAAAUAAUGACAUUUUACUUAAACCAAUAAUUAAAAGUGAUAAUAAAAAACUUAUAAAUAAAAAAUUAUACUUAAUAAAGAGAUUUAAGAGUAAUUAAUUCCAAAGAAAUUUGAAACAAAGACCAAGUCAUGUCAUUCGUGGGGAUCCGACACAUGUUUAGUGUAUGGCUCAAGUUUGUCCAAGUGCUGUCAAAUAAUAAAUAUAUUAUCAACUUAACAAUCGAAAUAAUUGCUUGGGCUUUACCCAUUCAAAAGUCUUUGCCCAGCAUCAAGUCUAAGUUUGUCCACGUACUCUCAAACAAGAAAUUUAUUGUCGACUCAACAACUCUCUGAUUACAAAAAACAAUGGAAAUAAUUUGUCCUUGCUUGGCCCAUUUUUAAAGUCUUUGGCCAGCGUCAAGUCAACUCGAAAAGAGUGUAAUCAUGUUCCUAUAUUUGCUUCUCAAAAAUACGAAGGAAAAAAAAAAUUACAAUGAAAUAAUUUUCCCAUAUUUUAUUAUACUAUAAAAAAAUAUAUGAUAAUUAUAUUUUUAUCUUAUUCAAUAAUAAUAUUAUAUAUAUAUCAUUAAAAAAAUAUAAAUUUUAUAAAUAUACAUUAAUUAUUAAAUUAAAUUAAAUAUUAUUAGACAAUAAUAUGUUUAACUUUAAAAUAUAAUUAAUAUUAAAAUUACGAUUCAUUUAAUUCAAUUAUAUUUAAUGAUAUAAAAUAAAUAAAAAUAUAUGUAUACAUUUUAUUUUAAUAUUUAUGUUUUUUAUAUUUAAUUAAUAUAUAAAUGAUAUAAAAAAAUUUCUUAAAAAAAUUAUCACGGUAGUUUUAAAAAAAUCUCUUAAAAAAUCAGUUUAAGAAAACAAAGACAAACAAUUGAAAAUAAUUAAAAUAUGUUACAUAAAAUAUCAUCUUUAGUGUUUUUUUUAAGAAUAAAAAACUAUAUAUAUAUAUAUAUAUAUAUAUAUGUGAUACUAUAUUUUAAGAGAAUAUCUUUUGGUUAUUUUUAGUUAUUUUCACUUGUUUUUUGAAAUAUAUUUUAAAAAAUAAUUAUAUAAAUAUGGGGAAUUAUUAAAAAUAAAACAUUAUAGAUAAAAAUUUAUUUUAAAACUAUAUUAAAAAAUAUAGAAAAUAUGUUAAAAACGUUUCAUAUUUUCAAACCAGCUUUGUUCUAUAAAACAUUAAAGAAUAAUUUUCUAAAAAUUGUUUUUCAAAAUUAUUUUUAAAAAAAAAUACUUUCCAAACAAAACCUUAACAAUUCUCUUUAUCAAAUUCUAAUUCCAACUCUAAUCCUAAUCAUAAUUAUUUUCCUUGUCUUUCCUUUCCUUUUUUUUCCUUCCCUUCUAUUCCCUAAUUAUAUAUAAGUAUUUAAAUUAAGACAUUAAAUCAGUUUAUCAUAAGCAUCAUGUCAAUGACUUUUAAACCACUUGGUGGAUCCACUCAUCCAUCAUUCAUGAUGGAUUAAUCCACGGAAAGAUAACAACAUCUUCCUAGACUUGUACAUGUGGAUAGCUAUUAGAAAAAAAAAAACAAAAUUUAAUGCACAAAAAUUGGGAUGAAGAAAUAAAAGAAACUCAUCAAUGGUUACAACUGGUACGUGAAUGAAUAGAUGGAAGAGAACACAACAACCAAUCAUAAAUAAGAGAUGAAAAACAAUUAUUAUAGCAAUAAUGAAGCUGUCCUUUUGUUUAAUUAAUCAACUGUUCAAACUGGGGAUGUACCAUAAAUGGGACCAUGAAUUAAAUUAUUGUAUAAAAUGUCUCAUAAGAAAAAUGUUGCUUCACUUACUUUCAAUACAUUUUUUUAAUUAAUUAAGUUUUAUAAAUAAUUAAGAGUCCAUUAGGAUGGAUUUUUUAUUUUCUAUUUUAAAAAAUAAAAAAUAAGGAUAAAUUCCAUAUAAAAUAUAAAAAGUUUUAUAAUCUUAUAUAAAAAAAAUGCAAUGGUUUUUUUUAAAAUUGAUUAAAAUUUUGAGAUAUUAAAAAACAUUAUCGCCUCAAAUUUUGAAAUUUAUUUAAAAAAUUUAGAAACAUAAACUAAGUCUAUAUUUUUUAUAUAAGAGUUUCUAUUUUUUAUAUAAAAAUUUUUAUUUUUAAAAAUAAAAAACUAAAAAUAUCUAUAUAAAUAAAGUGUUAAUACUUAAAUAAAAUUGAUCAAAUAAUAACAUUUUACUUAAACCAAUACUUAAAAGUGACAAUAAAAAACUCAUAAAUAAAAAAAGAAUACUUAGUAAAAGAUUUAAGACUAAUUAAUUUUUUUAAAAAAAAUUGAAACAAAGACCAAGUCAUAUCAUUCAUUGAGAUCCGACAUAGUUUGUCUAAGUAUUGUCAAAUAAUAAAUUUAUUAUUUGACUAAGUACAAUAAAUUUAUUAUCAACUCAACAACUCGUACCAAAACAAUUGAAAUAAUUGUCCAUGUCGGACCCAUUUUAAAGUCCUUUCCUAAGGUCCAAAUUUGUCUACAUACUGCCAAAUGAUAAAUUUAUUAUUAACUCAAUAACUCUCUGAGUACAAAAACAAUCAAAAUAGUUGUCCGAACUAUUUUAAAGUCUUUGCCCAACAUCAAAUCAACUCGAAAAAUGUGUAAUAAUGUUCCUAUAUUUGCUUCUAAAAAAUUGUCAAGGAAAGAAAAAAAAUAUUGCAAUCAAAUAAUUUUCUCAUGUUUUAUUAUACCACUAAAAAUAAUUUAUCAACACUCAAGUGAACUUAGUGGUGCACCCAACUUUUUUUCUUUGUUUAAAAAAAAAAGAAGAAAUUUUUAGGAUAUGAAUGAAAAAUAUAAAAUAAGGUUAAAGUUUUGAUAGGAUGAGAGGCAGUCAGAGGUUGCCGAACAAAGUAUUUUUGUCAUUUCAUAUCUAAUAUUUAUGUGAAAAAAAAAAAAAUUAGGGUAGGAAGAUUUAGGUCCAAUUUUGAUAAUUGUUUUUUAUAAUAGUUUCUUAAAAUUAUUUUAUGAUGUUUAAUAGAAUACUUGUAUGAUUAUGAAUGCAAAAUGUUUUAACAUAUUUUCUAUAUUUUAAAAAUAAAUUUUGUAUGUACUAUUUUAGUUUUAAUUAUUUUUUAUAUUUAUAUAAUUAUUUUUUAAGACAACUCAAGAAAAUAAGGGAAAAUAAUUGAAAGUAAAUAAAUAAUGUUAUCUGAAAAAUAUCAUAUUUUAUGUUUUUAAGAACAAAAAAUUAUUUUCUAUUCUUAAAAAUAGAAAAGAAAUAGAAAGUAUAAUACCAUAUUUUUAGAGAACAUCUUCUAGUUAUUUUUUGUUGUUUUUACUUGUAUUUUGAAGGUUAUUUUAAAAAAUAAUUAUAUAAAUAUGUAAAAUGAUUACAAAUAAAGCAUUAUAAAUAAAAAGAAAAUUAUUUUAAAAACAUAUUGAAAAAUAUAAAAAUAGGUUAAAAAAAUUUCAUGUUCUCAAAUAUACUUUGUUUUAUAAAACAUUAAAGAGAUAUUUUAAAAAAACACUUUCCAAAUAAAACCUUAAUAAACCUCUUUAUCAAAUCCUAAUCCUAACUCCAAUUCUAAUCAUAGUUAUUUUCCUUCUCUUUCAUUUCCUUUCCUUUUCUUUACUUCUAUUAUCUUCUUAUACAUAAAUAUUUAAACUAAGAUAUUACAUCAAUUUAUCAAACCCAUCUUAAGGAUCGUGUCAACAACUUUGGAUCCACUCAUCCAUCAUUGAUGAUGGAUUGAUCCAAGGAAAAAUAACAAUAUCUUCUCUACGUAAUUUAAGUCAUCGCCCCUUAGACUUGUACAAGUGAAUAACUUUUAGGAAAAAAAGAAAAAAAAAUUUAAUGCACAAAAAAUGGGAUGACGGGGGAAAGGAAACUCAUGCAUGUUCAUAGCUGUUACAUGAAUAGAUUGAAGAGCACACAAAAACAAUUAUUACAACAAUAAUGGAGUUGUCCUUUUGUUUAAUUAAUCAAGUAUUCAAGUUGGGGAAUGUACUAUACAUGGGACCAUAAAUUCAUUUAUUGUACAAAAUGUCUCAGAAUAAAAAUGUUACUUGGCUUACUGUUUUUACAUUCUUUUUUAAUUAAUUAAGUUGUAUAAAUAAUUAUGUGUCCAUUUGGAUAGAUUUUUUAUUUUCUAUUUUUAAAAAUAAAAAAUAACAAUAACUUCUAUAUCAAAUAUAAGAAGUCUUAGAAUCUUUUGUAAAAAAUGCAGUGAUUUUUUUUUAAAAAAAAUUGAGAUGUUAAAAAGUUUUAUCACCUCAAAUUUAAUUUAAAAAAAAAAACAAAUAGGAGCAUUAGACAAGUCUAAACUUUUUAUAUAAAAAAAAUCUAUUUUUUUUAUAUAGAAAUUGCUAUUUUAAAAAACAUAAAACAAAAAAUAUAUUUAAAUGAAACAUAAAUACUUCAAUAAAAUUUAUCAAAUAAUGACAUUUUACAUAAACCAAUAAUUAAAAUGAUAAUAAAAAAACUUGUAACAAAAAAUUAGACAUAGUAACGAGAUUUAAGACUAAUUAAUUUCAAAGAAAUUGGAAACAAAUGAUCAAGUCAUGUCAUUCGUGGGGAGAUCUGACACAUGUUUAGUGUAUGGGGGUGGAGUUAGAAAUAGGAUUCAAGGGGGCAAUACGAGAUAUAUUAGUUUUUCGAGGUUAAAUGUGAGCCAAAAAGUAACAUUUAACUUGCUGGUUGGUUUGAUCCUCUUUAAAAUUGAGGUUUUGGGAUCAAAAUCUCAUUGAAUGGUAGUUCUUUUAUUUUUUAGAGAGGGGGCAUCUACUCUGCUUGAGCCCUUUAGACCCAUUUUAAAGUCUUUGCCCAACAUGAAGUCAACUUUAUAUUUGUUUUGAAAAAAUAUUAUAUUCAGAUUACUUCAAGAAAGCUCAAGAGACCUAAUUAUUUAUUAUGAACUAAAGCGAUGAUGGUGUAUAUUGAGACAAAAUAAAAACUAAAACAUAUCAUAGAAUAUCCUUCUCCAUAGAAAGUUUUGAUGAGUAGCAACAAGAUGAUCAUGAUAGUAACAUGGUUGUGGAACAAUAUGAAAUCUUAUGUUAGUGUUAAUUUCAUGUUCUUAGAAACUGUAAAGCAAAUAUGAGGAGUAGUGAAAGAGACAUACUUUCAAGAAUUUAUUAAUUGUAUGAAGAUAUUUUUGGGACAGAGCAUAAUGAGAAAUCUAUGAGUAAGCACUAUGCAUCCCUUAAAGGGAUGUGGGACUAGACAGGGAAUCUACCAUACAUGGACCCAUAAAUUAAAUUAUUGUACAAAAUGUCUCAUAAGGAAAAUGUUACUUGCCUUAGUAUUUAUACAUUUGUUUUUAAUCAAUUAAGUUGAACAAAUUAUUAAGAGUCCAUUAGGAUUAUUUUUUUUAUUAACUUCCAUAUAAAAUAUAAGAAGUCUUAGAAUCUUAUGGUUUUUUUAAAAUUGAUUAAAAAAAUUUAUCACCUCAAAUUUCAAUUUUUUUUUUUAAAAUAGAAAUAUAAUGAAAGCCUAUAUUUUUUUAUAUAAGAAUUUCUAUUUUUUAUAUAAAAGUUUCUAUUUUUAAAAACAAAAAAAGAACAAAAAAUAUAUUUAGAUGAAGUGUAAAUACUUAAAUAAAAUUUAUCAAAUAAUGAUAUUUUACUUAAAUCAAUAAUUAAAAGCGAUAAUAAAAAACCUCAUAAAUAAAAAAGUAUAUUUAAUAAAGAGAUUUAAAACUAAUUAAUUUCAAAGAAAUUUGAAGCAAAGGACCAAGUCAUGUCAUUCACGGGGAUCCAACACAUGUUUAGUGCAUGCCCAAGUUUGUCCAAGUACUAUCAAAUAAUAAAUUUAUUAUCAACUUAACAACUCUUUAUUAAAGUCUUUGUCCAACAUGAAGACUAAGUUUGUCAAAGUACUGUCAAAUAUUAAAUUUAUUCUCAACUCAACAACUCCCAAAGUAAACAUUCGAAAUAAUUGCCCCUGCUGAAAAAUAUGUAAUCUUAUUCCUAUAAUUGCUCCAUAAAUUAUUAAGGAAAUAAAAAAAAUUUGCUAUAAAAUAAAUUUCUCAUAUUUUAUUAUACUAUUAAAAUUAAUUGGUCAGCACUUAGCAGUUAAUCUAAUCGUGCACCCCAAAUUUUUUUCUAUGUUCCAAAAAAAAGAAAAAAAAAAAAAAAACAAGAAGAAGAAGAAGAAGAAAUUUUUAGGAGAAUAGAAGGAAAUGAAUGAGAAAAAAAAGAAGGUAAAAUAAGAUCACGGUUUAGUCGGGAUGAGAGUUGAGAGGCUGAAGAACAAAGUAUUUUUUUCAUUUCAUAUCUAAGAAUUGUAUGAAAAAUAAAAUAAAAUAAAAUAAAGCUGAGGGUGAGAAGAUUUAGGUCUCGUUGAUAAUUGUUUUUUAAAAUAGUUUUUUAGAAUAGAUCUUUAAAACUGUUUUAUGAUAUUUUGUAGAACACAUAUAUGUUUGGGAAUGUCAAAUUUUUUAAACAUGCUUUUUAUGUUUUAAAUAUAAUUUAAAAAUAAAUUUUGUAUGUAACAUUUUAGUUUUAAUUAUUUUUCAUGUUUGUGUAAUUAUUUUUUAAAACAACUUAAGGAAAGAAGGGAAAACAAUUGAAAAUAACUAAAAAAAUGUUAUUCAAAACAUCAUAUUUUCAGUGUUUUUUUUUAAGAACCAAAAACUAUUUUCUAUUUUUAAAAACAUAAAAGAAGCAAAAAAAAUAUAUGACACUAUAUUUUAAGAGAACAUCUUUUGAUUAUUUUUAGUCGUUUUUAUUUGUUUUUUGAAAUCUAUUUUAAAAAAUAAUUAUAUAAAUAUAGAGAAUGAUUAAAAAUAAACAUUAUAGAUAAAAAAAUAUUUUAAAACUAUAUUUAAAAAUAUAAAAAAUAAAUUAAAAACAUUUCAGAUUUUCAAACAAAUUUUGUUCUAUAAAACAUUAAAGAAUACUUUUCUAAAAACUAUUUUUCAGAAUUAUUUUUAAAGAACAAUUUCCAAACAAAACCUUAACAAUUAUCUAUAUCAAAUUCUAAUCCCAACUCUAAUCCUAAUCUUAAUUAUUUUCCUUGUCUUUCCUUCCCUUCUUUUUCCUUCCCUUCUAUUCCCUUAUUAUAUAUAAGUAUUUAAAUUAAGACAUUAAAUCAGUUUAUCAAACCCAUCUUAAUCAAUCAGUUUAUCAUAAGCAACAUGUCAAAGACUUUUAAACCACUUGGUGGAUCCACUCAUCCAUCAUUCACGAUGGAUUAAUCCAUGGAAAGAUAACAACAUCUUCUUAGACUUGUACAUGUGGAUAACUAUUAGAAAAAAAAAAUUUAAUGCACAAAAAUUGGGAUGAAGAAAUAAAAUAAACUCAUCAAUGGUUACAGCUGGUACAUGAAUGAAUAGAUGGAAGAGAACACAACAUCCAAUCACAAAUAAUAGAUGGAAAACAAUUAUUAUUGUCCUUUUGUUUAAUUAAUCAACUAUUCAAGUUGGGGGAUGUACCAUACAUGGGACCAUGAAUUAAAUUAUUGUACAAAAUGUCUCAUAAGAAAAAUGGUGCUUCCCUUACUUUCUAUACAUUUGUUUUUAAUUAAUUAAGUUACAUAAAUAAUUAAGAGUCCAUUAGGAUGGAUUUUUUGUUUUCUAUUUUAGAAAAUAAAAAAUAAGGAUAACUUCUAUAUAAAAUAUAAAAAGUCUUAUAAUCUUAUAUAAAAAAAAUGCAAUGGUUUUUUGAAGUAAGUUUCUCAAUUCUUCAACCAAUUGCAAAACCGAAAUAUCUCUAGCAUUUUUCAACACAGCAUUAAGGCUUUCAACGAUCCCUAUCGUCAUGAUAUUAUAUCUUUUUCCGAUAGAAUAUGAAUGUGCCCAUCGAUCACCUCCUAUAUCCAUCAAAUAUCUUGCUGCUCUUGGGUCAAUCAUCUCUAGUUGUCCAAAUAUAAAAUUAAACUCUGAAACACGAUAAGCAUGGGCAGCAUCAUGAAAUAAUUUAUGAAUUACAAGAUUCUUGAACUUUGUCUUCAAAUUUUGUCCAACAUGAUAAAUGUAGACACCAUGCCUCGCAUGGGGAAAUACUUUAUGUACCGCUUUCUCAAUGCUACCAUGUCGAUCUGAUAUCACAAACAAAUCAUCAAUGUGUCCAAGUGCAUCAUGCAGUUUUUGUAAACACCACUCCCAUGAGGCAUCAUUUUAUGAAUCACCACUCCCAUGAUGGAUUGAUCCAAGGAAAAAUAACAAUAUCUUCUAUAUGUAAUUUAAGUCAUCGCCCCCUAGACUUGUACAAGUGAAUAACUAUUAGGAAAAAAAGAAAAAAAAAAAUUAAUGCACAAAAAAUGGGAUGACGGGGUAAAGGAAACUCAAGCAUGUUCAUAGCUGUUACAUGAAUAGAUUGAAGAGCACACAAAAACAAUUAUUACAACAAUAAUGGAGUUGUCCUUUUGUUUAAUUAAUCAAGUAUUCAAGUUGGGGAAUGUACUAUACAUGGGACCAUAAAUUCAUUUAUUGUACAAAAUGUUUCAGAAUAAAAAUGUUACUUGGCUUACUAUUUUUACAUUCUUUUUUAAUUAAUUAAGUUGUAUAAAUAAUUAAGUGUCCAUAUGGAUGGAUUUUUUAUUUUCUAUUUUUAAAAAUAAAAAAUAACAAUAGCUUCUAUAUAAAAUAUAAGAAGUCUUAUAAUCUUUUGUAAAAAAUGCAGUGAUUUUUUUUUAAAAAAAAAAUUGAGAUGUUAAAAAGUUUUAUCACCUCAAAUUUAAUUUAAAAAAAACAAAUAGGAGCAUUAGACAAGUCUAAACUUUUUAUAUAAAAAAAAUCUAUUUUUUUUAUAUAGAAAUUGCUAUUUUAAAAAACAUAAAACUAAAAAUAUAUUUAAAUGAAACAUAAAUACUUCAAUAAAAUUUAUCAAAUAAUGACAUUUUACAUAAACCAAUAAUUAAAAUGAUAAUAAAAAAACUUGUAACAAAAAAUUAGACAUAGUAACGAGAUUUAAGACUAAUUAAUUUCAAAGAAAUUGGAAACAAAUGAUCAAGUCAUGUCAUUCGUGGGGAGAUCUGACACAUGUUUAGUGUAUGGGGGUGGAGUUAGAAAUAGGAUUCAAGGGGGCAAUACGAGAUAUAUUAGUUUUUCGAGGUUAAAUGUGAGCCAAAAAGUAACAUUUAAUUUGCUGGUUGGUUUGAUCCUCUUUAAAAUUAAGGUCUUGGGAUCAAAAUCUCAUUGAAUGGUAGUUCUUUUAUUUUUUUAGAGAGGGGGGACAUCUGCUCUGUCUGAGCCCUUCAGACCCAUUUUAAAGUCUUUGGUCAUGAAGUCUAUAUUUGUUUUGAAAAAAAAUAUUAUAUUCAGAUUACUUCAAGAAAGCUCAAGAGACCUAAUUAUUUAUUAUGAAUUAAAGCAAUGAUGUUGUAUAUCGAGACAAAGGAAAAACUAAAACAUCUCAUAGAAUAUCCUUCUCCCUAGAAAGUUUUGAUGAGUAGCAAUCAUGAUUCACAAUAGAUUAAUCCAUGGAAAGAUAACAACAUCUUCUUAGACUUGUACAUGUGGAUAGCUAUUAGAAAAAAAAAAAAAAAAUUAAUGCACAAAAAUUGGGAUGAAGAAAUAAAAUAAACUCAUCAAUGGUUACAGCUGGUACAUGAAUGAAUAGAUGGAAGAGAACACAACAUCCAAUCACAAAUAAUAGAUGUAAAACAAUUAUUAUUGUCCUUUUGUUUAAUUAAUCAACUAUUCAAGUUGGGGGAUGUGCCACACAUGGGACCAUGAAUUAAAUUAUUGUACAAAAUGUCUCAUAAGAAAAAUGUUGUUUCCCUUACUUUCUAUACAUUUUUUUUAACUAAUUAAGUUAUAUAAAUAAUUAAGAGUCAUUAGGAUGGAUUUUUUAUUUUCUAUUUUAAAAAAUAAAAAAUAAGGAUAACUUCUACAUAAAAUAUAAAAACUUAUAAUCUUAUAUAAAAAAAUGCAAUAGUUUUUUAAAAUUGAUUAAAAAAUUGAGAUACUAAAAAAAAUUAUCACCUCAAAUUUUGAAAUUUAUUUAAAAAAUUUAGAAACAUAAUCUAAAUUUAUAUUUUUUUUAUAUAAGAGUUUCUAUUUUUUAUAUAAAAAUUUCAUUUUUAAAAAAUAAAAAACUGAAAAAUAUAUAUAAGUAAAGUGUAAAUACUUAAAUAAAAUUUAUCAAAUAAUGACAUUUUACUUAAACCUAUACUUAAAAGUGACAAUAAAAAAACUCAUAAAUAAAAAAAGUAUACUUAGUAAAAGAUUUAAGAUUGAUUAAUUUAAAAAAAAAAAAUUGAAACAAAGACCAAGUCAUGUCAUUCAUUGAGAUCCGACAUAGUUUGUCCAAGUUCUGUCAAAUAAUAAAAUUAUUAUCAACUCAACAACUCGUACGAAAACAAUUGAAAUAAUUGUCCAUGUUGGACUCAUUUUAAAGUCUUUGCCUAGCAUGAGGUCCAAAUUUGUCUAUGGAUCAACUCAAUAACUCUCUGAGUACAAAAACAAUCAAAAUAAUUGCCCGACCCAUUUUAAAGUCUUUGCCCAACAUCAAAUCAACUCGAAAAAUGUGUAAUCAUGUUCCUAUAUUUGCUUCCAAAAAAUGUCAAGGAAAGAAAAAAAAAAUUGCUAUCAAAUAAUUUUCUCAUAUUUUAUUAUACAACUAAAAAUAAUUUAUCAACACUCAACAGUGAACUUAGUCGUGCACCCAACUUUUUUUCUUUGUUUUUUUUAAAAAAAGAAGAAAGUUUUAGGAGAAUAGAAGGAAAUGAAUGAAAAAUAUAAAAUAAGGUUAAGGUUUUCAUAGGAUGAGAGGCACUCAAAGGUUGACGAACAAAGUAUUUUUGUCAUUUCAUAUCUAAGAUUUAUGUGAAAAAAAGAAAGAAGAUGAGGGUAGGAAGAUUUAGGUCCAAUUUUGAUGCUUGUUUUUUAAAAUAGUUUUGAAAAACGGUUUUUGAUAAUAGUUUUUUAAAAUUGUUUUAUAAUGUUUUAUAGAACACUUAUUUGGGAAUGUAAAAUGUUUGAACAUAUUUUCUACAUUUUAAAAAUAAAUUUUGUAUGUACUAUUUUAGUUUUAAUUAUUUUUCAUAUUUAUAUAAUUAUUUUUUAAGACAACUCAAGAAAAUAAGGGAAAACAAUUGAAAGUAAAUAAAUAAUGUUAUCUAAAAAACAUCAUAUUUUUUGUUUUUAAGAAUAAAAUAUUGUUUUCCAUUCUUAAAAAUAGAAAAGAAGUAGAAAAUAUAAUACUAUAUUUUUAGAGAACAUCUUGUAAUUAUUUUUACUUUUUUUUUUAAGUUUAUUUUAAAAGAUAAUUAUAUAAAUAUGUAAAAUGAUUAUCUUUAUCAAAUUUUUUAGAAUUAUUUUUAAAAAACACUUUCCAAAUAAAACCUUAAUAAAUCUCUUUAUCAAAUCCUAAUCCUAACUUCAAUUCUAGUCAUAAUUAUUUUCCUUCUCUUUCCUUUCCUUUCCUUUCCUUUCCUUUCCUUCUCUUCUUAUACAUAAAUAUUUAAACUAAGACAUUACAUCAAUUUAUCAAAUCCAUCUUAAGGAUCAUGUCAACAACUUUUAAACCACUUGGUGGAUCCACUCAUCCAUCAUUGAUGAUGGAUUGAUCCAAGGAAAAAUAACAAUAUCUUCUAUAUGUAACUUAAGUCAUCUCACCAUAGCUAUCAAAGAAAAAAAAAAACAAAAAACAAAAUUUAAUGCACAAAAAUGGGAUGAGGGCGUAUAAGAAACUAAUGAAUGGUUAUACAUGAAUAGAUUGAAGAUAACACAACUACCAUCACAAAUGAUAGAUGAAAAACAAGCAUUACAACAAUAAUGAGCUUGUCCUUUUGCAACUAUUCUUGUUGGGAAAUAUACCACACAUGGGGCCAUGAAUUAAAUUAUUGUACAAAAUGUCUCAUAAUAAAAAUGUUACUUGCCUUACUAUUUAUAUAUUUUUUAAUUAAUUAAGUUGUAUAAAUAUUAAGUGUCUAUUUGGAUAGAUUUUUUAUUUUCUAUUUUUAAAAAUAAAAAAUAACAAUAACUUCAAUAUAAAAUAUAAGAAGUCUUAAGAGUUUUAUAUAAAAAAAAUGAAAUGUUUUUUUUUUUUUAAAAAAAAUGGAUCAAAUAUUUGAGAUAUUAAAAAAGUUUUAUCACCUCAAAUUUAAUUUUUUAUUUUUUAUUUUUAAAAAAUGGGAGCAUAAGACAAGUCUAAACCUUUUUGUAUAAAAAUUUCUAUUUUUAUAUAAAAGUUUCUAAUUUUAAAAAGGGAAAAUAAAAAAUAUAUCUAAAUGAAGCAUAAAUGCUUAAAUAAAAUUUAUUAAAUAAUAACAUUUUACUUAAACAAGUAGCAUUUGUAUGUAGCCUACUGUUGUAGUUGACCUAAUCAUGCACCCGAAAUUUUUUCCUUUUCUUCUUUGUUUUCAAAAGAAGGAUUUGGUAGGAUGAGAUCUGGGAGGUUGAAGAACAAAAUAUUUUUGUCAUUUCAUACUUAAGAUUUAUAUGGGAAAAAGAAAGAAAUUAUGUUUUGUUUAACACAUUUUAGGUUCCCAAACAGUUUUUAACUUAUUUUCUAUAUUUUUAAAAAAAAUUAUAUGUGCUAUUUUUGUUUUAAUCAUUUUUCAUAUUUAUAUACUUAUUUUUUAAAACAACUCAAGAAGUAAAAACAACUGAAAACAACUAAAAUAUUUUUUAAAAAACAUCAUAUUUUCAAUUUUUAAAAAUAAAAAAAUUGUUUUCUAUUCUUAAAAACAUAAAACAAUUUAAAAAAAGAAAAUAUAGUAUUUUCAAAUAAUACAUUUUAGUUAUUUUAAUUUGUUUUCACUUUUUGUAUGGAUAAAAUGUUAUUUUAAAGUCAUAUUUAAAAAUAUAAAAAAUAAGUUAAAAACAUUUCAAGUUAUCAAAUAGACUUUGUUUUAUAAAACAGAUAAAUUAGUUUUCAAAAAUUGUUUUUCAGAAAUGUUUUUAAAAACACUUAUCAAACAAAACCUUAACAAUUUUCUUUAUCAAAUCUUAGUCCUCACUCUAAUCCUAAUCAUAAGAAUUUCCCAUCUCUUUCGUCUCCUUCCCUUCUAUUCUCUUAUUACAUAUAAGUAUCUAAAUUAAGACAUUAAAUCAAUUUAUCAAACCCAUCUUAAGGAUUGUGUCAAAACUUUUAUAUCACUUGAUGGAUCCGCUCAUCCAUCAUUCAUUAUCGAUUAAUCAACAUAAAGAUAACAAUAUCUUAUAUAUAUGUAAUUUAAAUCAUCUCACCCUAGAUUUGUAGAUGUGAAAUAGAUAUUAGAAAAAAACAAAAUUUAAUGCACAAAAAUUGGGAUGAGGGGGUAAAAGAAACUCAACAAUGUUUACUAUUGGUGCAUGAAUAGAUUGCAGAGGACACAAUUAUCAUUGUUUAAUUAACAACUAUUCUAAUUGGAGAAUGUACCAUACAUGGGUCCAUGAAUAUACAUUUAAAUGGACUCAUUAUGGACAGAAUGAGACCAACGAAUACACAUUCAAAUGGACUGAGACCAACAAGGAAAAUUAUCACCAUUCAAAUGGAUAGUGAUGAUCCAGACAGAAUGCAAAUCAGAUUUGGAGGCUUAGAUUUCAGUGUUUUUCGACGAGUUGGUUCACAAUGCAUAUCAUGUUCUUUAACCUGUAUGUGGAGAGAUACAUAGGCCUAUAGGUAAACAACCACAAAGAGCCCUUUUGGACUUACACAAUAAAUUAAAGAAACAAAUAUGCAAAUUAAGGAAACAAACAUGCGGUAAGGAUACCAUAAAAAUAAGAGAAAUAUUUGAAGGAAUAAUUUAUGUUUUGACUUUCUAUUAAAAUGAUUUAUAGAAGUCUUUGUUAAAGAAAAUACAAGACAUGAUAAUAGGAACUAAAUAACUACUCCAACUAACCUACAACCAAGCUUUCUUGAUUUACAAGAGUUGAUUUUAUAUUUGCAGAUAAAACUGCUAACAAAUCUCUAAGAAUUCAACAAUAUCUCCUGUAAAUCUUCUAUUUGAAUCCCUAGAUAGGACUGAGCAACAAGCAACAUGGUUGUUGUCCAUGGGUGGUCAAAUUUAUCAGUAACCCAAGACUUCCAUGCUCUCAAAAGCUCCAUUUUAAUCAAAGGUUGCUGAGAAAAUUACUAACAGGCUAGCAGAAGACCACUUAUCACCAGAUCUAGAAUUAGCAUCAAACAAUAACACAACCCAGGAAAACAAAAACAUUAUUUACAUGCUUCACUAAUGAUAUGCAUUGAUAACCAUAACUUCUGGGGAUAUGAUGCUGCUCAACAAGACAAUGCAUUUGUGAAGCUCAGACGAAUCGCAAAAAUCAUAGAGGAAAAUCUCUUGAGCAUUACCACAUAUAAGGUACAAGAAAGAAAAAGUCGAUGUAUGUGAUCUAUAGCUUGGGACUGAGAUGGAUCAGUGUUGAAUAUUUUCCUAAAAUAAGCAGACUAAUUACAUUAAGAAAUAUUGAUUGAUAUAGAACUUUAACCUCAACAUUCAGAAUUAAUUAGGAAGAAGUUGAAAAUACAGAAAACCUGAGGGAAGGAGCUAAGACACGGAUGGAGGGAUUGGCUUCACAGCAUUUUGGAUCCGCUGGAAUGCCACUCUCACUCUUUCCUUGAGGCCUUCAUUUUCGCUCUCAACAUUCCCACUCUGUUUAUCAAGAUGCACCACAUUUCCAUCAACGCUUAUCACCAGGUUCCCAUUCCCUUCCAACUUCACAUCUCCAAACAGAGAAACAAGAAGUGCGUGGAUAACCUUUUCUGCUUUCUUCCCAUUUUCUUCUUCAGUUUUUAUGGCCUCUGAUUCAACUAUUACCUUGGGGAUCUCAAGACUGAUAUUUAAAACUAGAGCCACAAUGGAGUCAGAGACCAUGUCACUAAUAGGAUCUGAUGUCCAAUGCAGUGAAAUAUGCUUCUCUGAGUCAUGCUUCACUGUCACCCGUUCAUGGACUCGAAAAGCUGGAACCUCAGAUUCUUCAUCUGGCAAUGACUCAACACUCUCAUAUAUCUGCUUCAGCCUGUGCUUUAUUACACCAAAGGCACCAGUGUAAGGAAUAGUAAUCCUCUGGGUGACAUUUGCCGUGGAUAGCUGCCAGAAGACAUGGAGAUCGUCAGGUGCCAUUAUCUGAUAAGUGAACCCUUUCUUUACCAGUAAACCACUGACAGUUUCACCAACUUCUGGGGUCUUUUCAGCCAGCCUCCCAAUGGUUUUUGCCAUUUUUUCAGAGUUGAAAUACAUUUCAACUGACUGACAGUUCUUUGGGGAAAUAAUUUUGGUGUUGCAGUCAGCAAACUGGGUGAUAAGCUUCUGUUUGAGCCUCCCCAUCUCAUUAGCUUCUCCAUGAACAAGAAUGAUGUUAGGUGGCAUGAGCUCCUUCAAGAAUGUACUUGUCUGUGCAAAAUCUGCAUGGGCAGAGAAAGAAAUGUAAUGGACCUGCAUGUUGAGGGGAGCAGUAAGACCAUUCAUUAAAGUAACUUCCUUGGGUUCAUUAAUGAUGGUUUUUGCCAAUGUCCCUCCCACGACAUACCCAGGUAUAACACAUGCAUUUUUCUUAUCAGAGCACCACAUAUCAAACAGUUGUCUUGACAACCCACUCUGAAGCCCACCCGGGCUCGCCAUCACCACUGAUGGACCUACAUCAUUAAAAUUCUCAAUGCUCUUUAAGGGUGAUAUGUGCUUGAAGUCAAAGGGAUUCGAAUUUGCAAAUUGGUUGCGGAUCCUCUCAUUCAUGGAAUUGAUAUAUGUCUGGUAAACAGCCAUGCACCUUUUUGCAAGGGGGGAAGCAUAAUAUAUGGGGACGUUAUGGAGCUCAGGAUGGUUAGACCAAUACUCAUCAAGGAUAAGAAGGAGUUCUUGGGCACGACCUAGAGCAUAUGCAGGGAUUAGAACACGGCCCCCUUGAGAAAUGGUUGAGUGGAUGACAUCUGUGAAGCGCUUUUCUCGCACAUGCCGAGGCUGAUGGAGUUGGACACCAUAAGUGGAUUCAAUUAUACAAAUAUCAGGGCAGAACUGUGGGAUCUCAGCAGCACGGAGAUGACGAUCUUCUUCGCGAGAAUAGUCUCCAGUGUAAAGUACUCGGACACCAGCAAUAUCAACCAUAAACAUGGCAGCACCAAGGACGUGGCCAGCUGUGUAACACCAAAAUCGUAUACCAUUUACUUCUAAAGUCUGAUGGAAAUCAAUAACCUGCAGAAGGGAGAUUUAAUUACAGUUACAGGAAGAUUAAAUGAGAUAAUAAAAUUAAGCUACAUAUCUAAAGUCAAUUGUUGUAAAUGGCCCAACAUUCUGCAAUUGAUCAGGAUUAUAUGCAACCAAUAUUUUGGCAUAUGAGAUACACACACACACACCAUAUUGCUUUUUUUAGUGAACAAGUUUUAUAUUUUAUUAGAUUAGUUAUGUAACAAUUUUGAAACUAAAUUCAGAACAAUAGAAAAAUUGUUGUUGUGGAACACAAAACAUGAAUUAAUAUUAGAAGUAUAGCCAUUUAAAUCUUAAUAGACUAAUUCCUACUAUGUUAGUUUUAUUUGUCCAGAACUGAAGACAAAACCCAUCUGUUCUCAUGGAAGGUGAAGUACAGAAAGCCCACAUAUGUUAUAGAGAUCUAAAACAGUAGUACUUACACUCAGGUAGAAUCUAUUUUUCAGGUAUGAAUGUCUAUGGUAGAAAGAUUAAGGCUUUAGGACAAGGUAGUAGACAUUUGUGACACUAUUAAUUUCAAAUAAGAGUCCCAAGAUAGAACAUUAGAGCUAAUUGCAAAUUUAAAUAACCAGAUUUAAGCUAAUCUGUGAUACAUGGACCAUUGUGACCAUAACUUUUGUGUUUUUUUUUUUUUGAUAGUUAUUGUAACCAUAACCUUUUUUUUUCCUGAUAGACAUUGUGACCAUAACUUUUCAGGCCUUUGAAAAAGGAAGUGCAAGAGAAGGAUUUCUCAUCCUUCCCUACUUUACAAAACCUGAUUUAAAAAUGGAAGUGCAACUGUGCAAGGGAAGGAUGAGAAAUCCUUCCUUACUUUACAAAACCUGAUCAAAACAGAGGAAAAGAAAUACUCUCCAAUAAACAUCAAAACAACUCGACAUUGCAAUUUUAACACUUCGGAUCUACAAGUUGACAUCCAAUCAAGUUGAGUUAUGUUGAGAAAUUCAUGCCUUAAAACAGAUAGUUACAUUAAAGGCACAACCAUAAUCUUACAUUACAUGCAUCCAAUUAUCAUAAAUUCACAACAUAAAAAAAAAAAAAAAAAAUACGUUUUGAAAAAUAGAAUCAAAGGCUUCAUUUUUUAUUUUUUAUUUUUUGAUAGGUAAAUUUUGUUCCCAUUGGGACUUGAACUUGGAACCUCCCGCAAACCCUCCCCAUCCCUUUACCACCUGACCCAGGCCUGAAGGGCACCAAAGGCUUAGGCUUCAUUCAACAUGACAUAUAAUAAUACCUAACAAACCUUCUCAGUCAGGGUAUUAGACAACUGAUUAGGAACUAUAGAAUCAUCAUGCUCUUUUUAACUAAGAACACUUUCCAGGUAAGAUAUUAUACGAGUUCUAAGAAAGCAACAAGUUCACAAAAAAUUAUAAAUAAAAACAAUACUAACAUUGUCAAGGCAUAAAAUAGAGCAACAAACAGCAUUAGGAUAGUUGAUGAAAGACAAAAAUAAUCCACAUAAAAGAGUAAAACAAGUAGCAUUGGAUUUCUUUCAUUUUAUUUUUUAUUUUAUAUAUUUUUGGUUUGGGGGCGGGGGUGGGGGGGGGGAGGGGGGGUGGGGGGGGGGGGGGAAGGGAAUGGCCAAAAAGCCAAAAAAAAAAAAUAUUUUUUUUAAAAAAAUAUUUUAAAAAAAAAAAACCCCCCAAAAAUUACAUUUGGGGCAUUUUUGGGGGGAAAAAUGAAAAAAANNNNNNNNNNNNNNNNNNNNNNNNNNNNNNNNNNNNNNNNNNNNNNNNNNNNNNNNNNNNNNNNNNNNNNNNNNNNNNNNNNNNNNNNNNNNNNNNNNNNGGGGAUGGCGAGAUAGGCAAAUAAGAAUAUAUAUGUAUAUAAUAAAUAUAUGUAAGAAAAGAAAAGCCCCGUAUAAGUAGCAUUGGAGCAUUUGAUGGUGAGAAAUAUGAAAAGAUUUCCAUGACUAGGAGUAAUUUCUAGUCGAUACUUGUUGUUUAGCUCAGUGCCUUUGGUGGAAGAAAACACAUAGGAUCUUUGAGGGUAAAGAGGUUUUUGAAGUUGAGGAAAAAGAAGAAGAAAAAUAGAAAGUUCUGGUCAUUGUUCCAAAUCCAAGUUUCCAUGGAAUACAGUAGAUGGAAGAACAUUAUUAUAUUCCUCUGGAUGAUAAGAAAUAUUAAAUACAAUAAAACUUAAAAGAUAACAUUUACAAAAAUUUUCAAAACAAAAAAUAAAAAGAUGAAAAAAGCCAAAUCAAAGUCACUCACCACCAACCAGGGAAAGGGAUGCAUUUAGAUUAGCUUCAAAACCAGUUUGGACGUGAGGAGAAAUAUUACAAGCCUUAAAAAAAUGGAGAUUGAAACAUACAUCUAUAAACAAAAAUAAACGCACCUCAAUUUUAUCCAUGGAGCGAAGAAUGUCUUGUUCAUCAUACAACAUAUCUUCAACUGAAACUUUGCUCACUUUUACAUAAUCAGACAAAAGCAACUUGUAGAUAGCCUUCGUUGCAUGAGUCAUAAAAACUCGCCCUUUGAAUGUGGUCUAAUGAACAAAUUCAAAUAUUUUAGCUUAUUUAAAAACAUAUGCAAAGUAAUUGCAUAAAAUUUGACUAAGAAAAUUGCCAACCUUCUCCAGGAAAUAUGGAAGGGAUGCAGCAUGAUCCAAGUGAAAGCUGCACAGGAAAUGCAACACAUUACAAUGCAAGAAAGUGGAAAGCACAUCUAAAAGAACAGGGGAAGUUUCAGAUGAGAAAGUAGAGUAGAUAGACAAAAAGAAAAACUAAAGAUGAAAGUUCCACCAAAAAGUUUCAAGAUCUACAAAAGUUCAUUGACAAGACAGACGUGCAAGAUAUCAAAUGAAAUGAUUGUUAAGAAAAUAUGCUGGUACAUGACACAACUAAGAGCACUGCUCAGAGAUAAGUAUGUGAUUACCAUAAAUCCAUUUACUGGGAAGAAACAAUGCUGAGAAAAGCAAUGGGAACUUCAACAUAAUCAAAGAAGGUGAAUGAUUGGGGUUUUUCUGAAGGAAUUUUAGCUGAUAGAUUCAAUUAUUUGUAACCUCACGCGCUCUUACAUAUGAAAGUACAUGUUCAAGUUUGUGUAUGGACACUUUAUGCAGAGAUGCAAAUGGGUAGGUCCAUUAACCCUUUCAUCCCUCCAGAACCCCAGAAAAGGAACCUGUAAGGCCAUUGUAUAGAGUGAUCCCUCUAAUACAGCUACAGAGAAUACUCUCAAAACCAUGCUUAUAGUAGUAGAUCACUAACUAUUGAUGUGCUUUCAACCAUUUCAAGAGCGUUCAUCAGCCAUGCAGUCAGAAUUUCAACUGGAGUAAAGUUGGGCUCAAGAAAGUCUACUCAAAGCCGAAAAAAUCUCAAGGCCAGACAAGAGCCCAGGGAUUUCAAUUUUAGGAAGCUAUUUCAUACGAGGAAAGGAAUCUCCAAGAGUUUAUUCCUUGAGAAAAAAGAAAUAUUAGCGAAUGGAAUGAAGAAGCCAUUGAGAAGCAGGAGAUAUUCAGAUAAUGGCUUAAAGUUUGGGUGGUAGAUGUAGUCUCAUUACUUUAAAGAUAUAUCUGCAGUGCUCCUAAUAGCACCAGAUAUUGAUAAGAGAAGGUACGGAUGGAGUACUUGCAGCUGGUCCUAGUCAAAUCUUUAUAUGCUUUAACAAUAGUUGUUUGGUCACUUUUUCUAAGUAAGGCCAUUCAGGACAGAAUUCAUUAAAUGAUUUUUUUUUUUUUUUUUUGGCAGAAAUAUGACCAUACCCAGGUAUAUAGUCCAAUAUAAAAGAACAAUCAUGAUAUUCUCUAAAUUUCAUUUCUCAAUUCAGCAGAUCACUAAGUUAUAAAAACAAAUAACAUUACAAUAUUCAACAAGGAAAAAGAAUAUACUGUGUCACCAAAAGGACAUCAAUGGUUGAAGGAUCAAUCUCAUCAAAGUAUGGCAAAGCAGCCAUGCCUGAGUAUGCGGGAUGAAUUCCACAGUCAAACUAUCAUCACAGAACAGGAACAAAAUAGAAACAAACAAAUUAUAAAAAAUAUCGAAAACAAAGUAUAAAAACUAGCAACCAAAAUAAACGAAUAAUGCAUUAUGGUAUACCAAUAUGGUUUUCCCUUUAUAGGACAUGUAGACACAGGAACGGCCCACUUCAUUUCCAGCACCUAGAGGGGUAAUAAUCAGCUGGUCUCCUCUUGUUAAUGAGGAAUCUGGUCUCUUCAAAGACUGUGAUGGCCCUGUAGAUGCCAUUCUUCAACUGAACAAUGCUCAGACCCCUUCAAUUAACACCACUCUAUAUUCAUGCAAAAUGCUCUGCAACUGAUUAAAAAAUACAAAAAAAAAAAAGAUUCAAAAAAAAAAAAAAAAAAAAACGCUUCAUCAUAAAUAAAAUGAUACCCAAAAAUAAAUACAAUUCCAGCAAAAGACAUUUUUUCUCUUGGCAACUCCAGUUAUUUUGGUGAAUAUAUUUCUGUUAAGCUUGGGAAAAAUAAAUUUUGACUUUCAGUAAAAUAACUCUGUACAGUUGAAAUUUAUAUUUCCCUGAGAACAUCUUCACUAGAAAUAACCUAUCUCCCCAAUUGAAGCUCAAAAUUUAAAAUCCAGUACGAGAAAGCACUGUUUGUUUGCUGAGAAAUUGCAGAACCAAAAAUUUAAAUCUUACAGCUCUCAGCGCUCAUCCCCCUAGAAAGCAACAUAAAAGCGCAAGAUUCAAUUGCUUCAUUUCCCUCUCUCUCCUCACUUUUCUCAGCAACCAAACACAACAACCUUAUAUAAAUAAGGAGAGAGAGUGAAGUAGAAGAAAGAAGAAACUCAAAACUUAUAAAAAAAAAAGCAUAGUAUGAAGGCAAUUAUAAGAGAUUCAAAAUUUUCAACUCACUUGGUUGCAUUUCCCACGAGUUUCUCGGGAACCAAACAGAGGGGAGGAAGAAAAAACAUAAACUUCAGAACAAAGAAAGAAGAAAUGCAUAGAAAAUAGCAGAGGGAGAAAGUUUCGAGAGAGUUAGAGAGGUUACAGUUAUGAAAUGAUUUCAGACCAUGCAAAGGAAGAGAGUGAACUAAAACCCCAAUUUUGAGAAGAUGCUUCCCUCUUUGCCUCACCCUCUGAAAGAUUGAUAAAUACCGGGCUGGAAUGGUCGGUCCGGAUGUGAGCCGGGUUUGAUCUGAUGUGUGCCUCCGGUUUAAGCCAUUUCGUUAUUCUUUUACUUUAUUUUUUUCCACAAAAUUUUAAUUUCAAAGCCAAUAUUAACAUUUUAAUAAAAUAUAGCCUUAAAAAAUAUGAGAAUUAUUUAUUAGAUAUCUUUCAAGAAAAAAAGAAUUGAAGGCCUCAUAGCAAAUAUUUUACUAAAAAAAUUUUUGAAAAAGAAAAAUAAUUAUCUAACCUUAAUAUCUUAAAAGAUAAAGAGACUUCAAGUAUAUGAUAAUUUCGAGACGUGAGUCAAUAAAAAUAGAAAUUAUAAAAAGUGAAUUGAUAAAAAUAGAAAUUAUAUUAUGAAUAAUUUUUGUUUGGUAUAUAUACAUAUAAUGUAUAUGUUCGUGGGUUGUUAAGGAUUUUUAAAAAUAUUAUUAUUUUAUGUAUUUAUUGAAGUUAUUAAUUUAGUAUAUUGGUCCAAGUUGAGACCAGAAUAUUUUAUUAUUCAAGCAAUUUAUAAACAUUCAUUUAUCAAUGUUUUGUUUUAACUUAAUGUAACAUCAAAAUUUUUAGGUUAUGUUUGGUUUUCGGAAAAUAGUUUUUUCAUAUUUAGUUUUACUAUAAAAACUAGUGAAAAAAAAUAAAAUAUAAUUAAAAUUAAUUAGAAUAUUGUACAUUUUAAAAUUAUUUAAUUUUUAUAUAAUGGAAGAAAAUAAAUUAAAUGAGUUUAGAGAAGCAUAUAAAAUAAUUUAUUAACUUGGACUCUAUUUUUUUAUUUUCCUUUACUUUUUCCUUCUUCUCACUUUUUCAUUUUAUUUUAUUUUCAUCACAUUUUCCCUCAAAUUUUUUGAGAACCAAACAUAACUUUAAACUUUUGCAUCAAAUUGACAACUUAUCAAAUUCGCACUAUCCUUUCUCAAACAUGAAAGAGAAUGACAGUGAAAAGUUUCUAAAACUUCCAUUGCCCAAAUAGGUCUUUGUCAUACAUCACUCGAACCCAACACAAUAUUCAGAGCUCCCAAGAAGAGAACAAGUCUCCCUACCAAGUGAUGUUACUAGUUCCAGUACUUGCGCUGUUUGGAUGUCUUGUCCAGCCUUAGAAUCAAUGCCAUUACCCAACAAGAAGAAAACUUAGUUUUCAGCAUGCUUGAAGAAAAUUUAUUCAGCAACUAUAACUUAUCCUCUAGCUUCAGCUUCUUCUAGCUCACCGAGCUUUCAGGUAAGAGAGUAUUUUGUGUAGCAAUCAAAACAGCCCCAGCAUCUUUAUUCUCAGAUUUUCCACCAGUUUGAUCUGAAGCUUAAUCCCAGAUUGGAAGGUAGAGCUUUUCUCUUCUUUCUGCAAUUGAAGGUGCAGAUUCUGCAAGUUCUGGGGAAACAUCUCAGCUUGAGCGAAUUGUAGACGUUCAUUCUGUGCAUGGAUUUGGAGUUGCUCCAAUUCUUCCUACUUCUUGGCAAGCUUGACAGUCUUCAAGGAGUUCUUGAAAAAGAAUCUGAAGUACAUCUAUGAACAAUCACAUAUGCAUUUGGGCAAUCUAUAGGUUCUCCAUCUGCUCUCAUCGCUGAACUACCACAUUCCUUCAGAUAAAUGGACCUGCCACCUCUGGUUUAUUAAAGACUAAAACAAUUUCCGUUGAACAGGUCUUUGCAUAAACCUUCUUUGGGGCAGGAGACUGAUGUGGAGUAUACUUAAGUCGUUUUCAGAUUAGUAUUUGAAUUGACCUUCUGAGGGGUGCCAAGUGCAAUUCACCAAAAUCCCAAACUGGAAUUAGUCCAUCUCCCAUUUCCUUUGAAAUACUCAACAAUUUAGUUUCUUUUUCUAUCAAGUUUGCCUUCAACUUUUCAAUAUCAGCCUACAUUUUCUCUAGUUUCGUCUGUGGUUCAGCUUGUAUUGGACUGGGUCUAGAUUUUGCGUGUUCUACAUGCUCAUAAGUGCUUCCAAACUACACCAUGUCCUGAACAUAUUCUUUCUGAUACCUGACCUUGGCAUCAAGAGCAGAUUUUAAAUGUCUCAUCUUUAAGACCAGAUUACUACUUAUGAAGUNNNNNNNNNNNNNNNNNNNNNNNNNNNNNNNNNNNNNNNNNNNNNNNNNNNNNNNNNNNNNNNNNAAGAUAGACUGGCUCUCUACAUCAGCUCACAUUGAUUUGUUUGGAGUUGCCCAAUUUCUUUGGCAAAUCUUCAUUUUCGUGUCUCGAAUUGUGGUUCAGUUUCCUUACUUCUUCUACCGCUGGACAUUCCAAAACAAAACUUGCAAAAGCUUGAAUGGCUUCUAAACUUUCUGCCAAUUCAGAAUUUUCCAACUGCAGGUUCACAUUAGAGUUCUUUUAACUCCUCUGCUUCAGCAGCCUCAAAGCAUUCCUUUUUAGCAGCUUCACGCUCUUCUGUUGCAAAUCCUCUUUGAUCACUCUCAAUAAUUACCAAUAAUUUUUGCUUGGGUUGAAGAACAAACCUUCUUGGUGUAUACCUUAAAGGAAUCGCAGUUUCAUUAAAUGUUUCACCCAGUCAUUCAAUAGUGAAGACCCUCAGCGCAUCCCCAGCAGCAGCAACCACACCUUCAGCACACUGAUCAGAUGAAAAUGAUGCAGCAAAUUCAAGUGUCUCAUAAGAAAGCGGUGUCAACAGAAAAUGCCCUCAGUGAAUAUAGCCAAGCCGAGGGUGGCUUGACAAGCAUAGCAUUGCACGUUGGCCUCUCACAAUGACAGAGAAUAUCUUUGGGGCUCUUAGUCCUAAGGAUCGGGAAUGAGCAUCAGAGAGCUGACCUGUCGCCAUAUCUACCACCAGUCUGAACAAAACUCCAUUCUGCGAACCAACAUUAAGAAAAAGACUAGCAGGGCGAUCAGCACCAACCUUAUCACCUACUGAUGCCUGAACUUCGAGAGAGAGAUUCUGGAGGAAAAGAAACACUUUGCAUACUCAAAAUCUGCAUACAGUCAUCAGGAUCCAAAGACGAGAUACGAAUAGUGUUGUCACAUUAUCCGACUGCGAGAAAAUGAGAUCUGUCUUCCUUCAGGAACCGGGGCAAUGUUAGAACAAGCCACAUCCCCAGACAUUUCAUGCUUCUCAACCUCCAUCAACUGACCAGUCAUAUCCACCUCGAAAUAUAUAAGCUCUCCUUCACUCAGUGCAAUAACCACUUGAAGCCUAUUGGGACCAACUUUGAUGGUUGUCCUCUUUCCAGGAGUUCUCCACUCGUUAAUGCGCCUGCCUUCUCUUACAUAACGGAAACCACUAGGGUGAACUCGCGGCAAGGAAUCAUCAUCACCUAUCGAAGAAACAGCAAGGGAUGCUGUAGCAUCAAGAAAACCACUAUCGCUUCUUCAACCGUGUCACCAAUUGAAAGCACAAGAGUAGCAUUUGCAAUUGAAACAACACUAUAUGCAUCAGACUCAUCAUCGACAUUCUUGCUAUCGCUUCUAAAUUUAGGAUCCGGAGGAAAGGAGCCCGAAUCAAUGCUAAAUUCAGUCAAAGCUUUCUUCUAGCAAUCUCUAAAAGAGGAGCAGAAGGCGUGCACCAGUAGAACAAAGUAAAUGCUGAGUAAAGCCCCUUGAAGGCCAUGGUACUGUGUAAAUCAAUAGGCAUUCCAAGGCAAAAUUAGGCCAUGGCAGUAGCUUGAGUACAGUUUUAGUCUCUGAUUUCUCCACAGAUGAUCAGCAAGUUUCGGAAUUUUUAAUAUUCUCUAAGCCAGAACAGAUACAUAAAAGAUGAAGGUUGGACGAACUACUCAUUACUGAUAUCAACUGCACCUGAAUUUAUUGAUGGCCAUCAUUUUUUUGUCUUCAGAAUCCAUUUUCAUUGCAGCAGUCCCAUUAAAUUUUUCUGAUGACUCCCACAUUGUCAUCCCCUAUUGAAGCAAUUCUAUCAACAAUUUCAGUAAUUAUGUCAACACCAGUAUUCCUUAAUGAAAAUACAACAAAAACUUUUCCACAACAUUGGCCAAGGGAGCAAAAGUCUCAUUCAUUAUUCAUAAGGAAUGUCAUGCUGAAGCUUCUUCCACUUCCUUAAGCUUUUGAAGCAAAUGGCACUGAGACCAUUGGGAACAUAUGCGAGGGCCUUUGAAGAAGGAAGUAUUCCAGCCACUACUGAAGAUAGAAGGCAUCAGGAAGGCCCCAAUUCAUGCAAAGCAGAAAAACAAGAAAGGCCAUUAAGGCCAAUUUUGGUCAUGACAAUCAUAGCAUGAGAGUUUUAGGAUCCCGUAGAGUCUGCAGAAAUGUAAGUAGUAGACCCAAGCGCCUUUAACAAAACCCACAAUCCUGUACUCUUCUGUAUGCAGUCUCUUUGCCAAAAGCUCUGCACCUCCCAGAUUCUUUAAACAGGAAAACUGCUGCACUGCUGUUGUCCAUGAGCUGCUCAUCAUGGGCACCAUUAGAUUGAACAAUGAAUGCGAAAGCAAGAAGGCGAAUCUUGUUGCACAAUCUGUAAGUUCUGAGAGGAAGGCACGAGCAUAUCUGAUUCUGGUCAGGCGCAAGUUUGUGCUCUUCGCAGUCCUCUUGGGCAUUAAACCAUGUCUUGACCACUGCCUAGCAUGUAGGUUCCCAGUUUACUGUUGCCUUUAGGGAUCACAAGGUCCAUAUUUAUCUCAAGUCUUGGCAAAUCAGUUCUCUUUCUCGUCAACCUACUGGAAUAUCUCAGAGCCAAUCAUCCAGUAACCGAGCUUUAGCCCAUUAACACUCAACCUUACAAAACUAGACAAGCUGCGAUGGGAUUCAUGGAGAUAAGGAAAUAGAACCGCCGGAAGUACACUGAACAUGCUGCGGCUUGCUGCAACGUUACCCCUCAUAUCAAACACCUCUGUCAUCCCCUCAAAACGUGCCCAAAUAUACUAAGACUCGAACAUCGUACAAGAAAGGAAACAUGGAACAUAGGCAGAAAAUAUCAAUCAACAUAGACAGCCCCGUUUUACGUGUCAAUAAUCUAGGGCUGGACAGGGGGACAAUACAGAAUAGGAUUUAAACAUAAACAGAGUAUGAUCAAAUUCAAGUAUGGGGUCACAUAUUUUAGAAGACACCAACGACAUAUAAAAGAAUCAGAAUAAAAAAAGGGCAAACAAGAACACAGAGAGUAACAAGAAGCAUACCUGGACAGUCUUGACUGCAAUCACUCCUUCCCCGCUAUCGUCCACCUCCAAAAUCCGUGAAAACCUUUGUUCCUCUUUCUUCAUUCGAAAACAAUCCCCUUAAAAAAAAAUCCCCUCUGCUCUCCUCUGUUGUUGCUUUAAAAGCCUCUCAUCUUGAAUCUGAAAUUCCCCCCCGGUAGCAAGACAAAAUCUCAACUCUUUCCUUUUUCCAUUGCCUUUGUUCAGAUCUUCCUUUUCAAAACAUGGACUGAAUCUUCAGUUUUUCCAAAACCCACCAAAAUAAUAAUAAUAAUAAUAAAAAACUAGAAAAAAAAAUAUAAAGUAUUAAGUCAAAAUCAAAAUAAAGAUAAAUAAAUAAAUUAAAAAAAAUCAGGAAUCAUAUAAGAAAAGGAAAAGAGAAGAUCAAUCACAUGUAAGUCAUAUAAGUCAUGCAUGCUAUGCAAUAAGGUUAUCUAGGCAAACUAUGCAACCAUGAAGGAAAGUGAGUCAAUGCAUGAACUAAUGGGUCGGGCCUUGUGGUGCCUAAAGUGGGCCUAGGUGGGCCAAAGUAAACCUGAGUGAGCUUAGAAAAGUGCUAUAGUGACCUAGGGUGAACUAAGUGAAAUCUAACUUAAAGUGCACCCAAAGUAAAGUCUAACCUAAACUCGAAGGGUGACUAAGGUCACAAUGAGGAGCCAGAUAAACCCUCAACCAAAGUCUCCAAAGUGGCUUAGAGAAGACAAAUUGCAUAGUAGUAAUUAGUUACAAAUGAACCAUUGUAAAAUACUAAAUGAGCCCUCAAUAGAACAUGUGCUAAGGGGACAAAAUGAAGGAUCUAUACUAAUAGAACAAAAAUUCUAAAAUCUUCAAAUCUCAACUUUUAAACCAACAUAUCAACCAUAGUAUUUUUGUCCAAGCAAUUUCAAACUAAAACAAUAGCUAACAAUAAUUAAAUUCUAAUGUUUAACAAAGUCCCCAAAAAAGAGUUUAAACAAAUAUCCUAAUAAAGCCAAAAUUUUCAUUCUAACCAUCACUUCUCACCCGAACUUAGGGUACCUGAAAAAUUAAUGAGCUCAAAACUCAAUAAGAAACAUUAAUAUAGUUUCAUGGAUCAAAUAUUUUCAUUCAUGCUUCCAAAUAGGAGAUAUAGGGUAUAAUCAUUUUCAUAAAACGUUUGAGUUCAAACAUGCUAAUACAUUUUAAACAGUUCAACCAAACAUUUUCAUAUAUAUCAAAACCAUUUCAUAUCAAAUCCAAAUCAAAUACAUUUCAAUUAUUUUUAUUUUGGUUACCAAAUAAUAAAUGACGCUUAGUUAAGUGAAACUUUACAAAUGGGUGGUUAGCUUCAAAUUUGUUCCUUUUAAGGUGGACAUAAUCAAAAGUAACCUCUAAUCAAAGCCCUCAAGGCUGGGGUUUAAAUCAAUUACAUUUUUUAUCAGGAAAAUGUAAAGGUCAAUUAUUAUAUCCUGUUGACAAGGGCCGAAAAGUCAACUAUUAUACCCCAUUGAUAAGGACCAAACAAAUUAAAGUCAAAUUCUUUGUUUUAUUUAUUCAAACUUACGGAAAACAUAAUACCUCCAUAUAUUCUAUUAUAAACAAAAGAAAUGUUAUAAUAUAUUUUUUAUGCAAAAAUAUAUUUGAUCCAUACAUAAAAGCAAAAAUAACACACACACACACACACACACACACACACACACACACACACACAUAUAUAUAUAUAAUUAUCUCUUCAAAUUGAUAAAUGGUAGUUUUUUUAUUCAUACUUUCAUUCGUUCAUGUACAGAGUAUAUAUAGAGGGUAAUCACCAUUCUAAGAAUGGGAAAGAAUGAUACAAGGAAAUAAUGAUAUAAGGAAAUAACAACUAAUAUCCUAAUAUCUCAACUUUCCUAAUAUCUCAAUAUUCCUAAUAUCUCAACACUAAAUGAUAUAAGGAAAGAAUGAUAUAAGGAAAGCAUUCCUAAUAUCUCAACACUCCCCCUCAAGUUGGUGCAUAGAUGUCACACAUGCCCAACUUGUCUAAAAAUUUUGAGAACACUUGACUUGAGACAACUUUGGUAAGGAUAUCGGCCAAUUGAUCUUCUGAUCGAAUCUUAGGCAAUUCCACAAUCUUAUCAUCCAAAUUUUCCUUAAUGAAAAAUCUAUCCACCUCGACAUGCUUUGUACGAUCAUGUUGUACUGGAUUAUGAGCAAUGUCACAUGCGGCUUUAUUGUCACAAAACAAUUGGAUUGGUUGCCUAGAUAGGUAACCUAAAUCCUGUAAGAGAAGUCUUAACCAUAAUGCCUCACAAAGUUCUAGAGCCAUACCUCUAAAUUUCGCUUCUACACUUGAACGAGCAACGACAUUCUGCUUCUUACUUUUCCAUGUCACAAGAUUACCACCUACAAAGGUAAAGUAACCAGAUGUAGAUCGCCUAUCAUCCACUGCACCGACCCAAUCAGCAUCAGUAUAUACUUCUAUACUCUGAUGAUUAACAUUUUUAGUGAACAAAAUUCCCUUCCCAGGAGCAUUCUUCAAAUACCUCAAAAUACGCAUGACUGCAUUCAUAUGUUGCUCUCCAAGAUUAUGCAUGUAUUGACUCACUACACUCAAUGCAUAAGCAAGAUCUGGUCUUGUAUGAGCUAAGUACAUUAAUCUCCCCACAAGUCUCUUGUAUCUUCCCUUAUCGGUUGAUACUUGAUUAGACUCAACACACAAUUUCAGACCUUCUUCUAUUGGUGUAUUAACAGGUUGACAUCCCGACAUUCCAGUCUCCUGUAAAAGAUCUAAGGCAUACUUUCUUUGAGAUAGAAAAAUUCUUUCACUUGAUCGAGAAACUUUAAUCCCAAGAAAGUAUUUCAGAGGACCUAGAUCUUUCAUUUCGAAUUCUCUAGAUAGAUAAUUUUGUAGAGCUUUUCUUUCUUCAGGAUCAUUUCCUGUAACUACCAUGUCAUCCACAUAUACGAUGAGUGUCGUAAUCUUACCAUGUUGCUUUUUCAGGAACAAAGUGUGAUCUGAAUUACUUUGACGAUAGCCAAAAGCUCUCAUUGACUUUGUGAACCUUCCAAACCAUGCUCUCGGGGAUUGCUUCAACCCAUACAAUGACUUUUUCAAUUUGCACACCUUCUGACAUUGCUUUUCUGGCAUCAUGCAUCCUGGUGGAAGAUCCAUGUAUACUUCUUCAGAUAACUCGUCAUGCAGAAAGACAUUUUUCACAUCGAAUUGUUGUAAUGACCAAUCUAGGUUUGCAGCUAAAGACAGUAAUACUCGAACUGUGUUGAUCUUAGCUACGGUGCAAAUGUCUCUGUGUAGUCAAUUCCAUAAGUUUGAGUGUACCCUUUUGCUACCAGUCUUGCUUUAAAUCGUUCAAUACUACCAUCUGCCUUGUACUUCACAGUAUAGAUCCAACGACACCCAACUGGCUUCUUUCCUGGUGGACAUUCUACGAGUUCCCAUGUUUCAUUCUUCUCCAAUGAUUUCAUCUCUUCAUUCAUGGUUGCUUUCCACCUUGGAUCAACUAAGGCUUCCUGCACACUGUUAGGAAUAACUGCAGUAGAUCAUUGAUUUACAAAUGACUUAUUUGAUUUAAACAAACGAUGGUUAGACACAUAGUUGCUCAUGGGAUAUUUGACUUUGGUAGACAAUUCAGGUUCAUAUGUGGGUUUAGGAAUACCUCUAUUAUGACGAUGUGGUAACCGUUUCAUGAAUGGAUCAGGUUCCAAAUUAAGAACACCCUCAACAGACGACGAUUGGUUUGGUAUUUCAAUGAAGACAUCUUCGGACCCAAAUUGUUGACCACUCAUAUCCAACUCACCCGCUUCCUGAUUCACUAGUUCAAAUUGUCCAGAUUCAUCUUCCUCAGAGAUAUGAUAAUCAUAAUCGAGAGUCUGAAUUUCCUUAUGGUACUCCUCCUGAAGUUCAGACUCAGAUGAAAAAUACAUCGAAUCUUCAUGAAACACCACAUCCAUUGUAAUAUACAUUUGUCAAGUUGGAGGAUGGUAACAUUGAUAUCCAUUUUUGUGCAAUGCAUAUCCAACAAACACACAUUGCAAUGCAUGAGAAGUUAACUUGGUGCGUUGGUGCUUGUGUAGAUGCACAAAUGCCACGCAACCAAAAACACGAGGAGGUAGAUUUGGGACGAUUGGGGCAACUACGGCAUUAGUAAGAGCUUGGAGAGGUGUUUGAAAGUUAAUUGAGCUAGAAGGUACCCGAUUGAUCAAGUAUGCGGCAGAUGUGAUUGCUUCUUCCCAAUAAGAUAUCGGUGUUUUUGCUGCUAUCAAGGAAGCACGAACAACCUCUAACAAGUGCCGAUUUUUUCGUUCAACGACUCCAUUUUGCUGGGGUGUAUUGGAACAAGUAAUCUGAUGAAUGAUGCCAUGUCCUUCCAAAUACUUUUGAAGAUCAGAACUUUGAUAUUCUCCACCAUUAUCACUAUGCAGAACUCGAACCUUUGCAUUGUACUGAGUUUCAAUCAUUUUAUGAAAUUUUUGAAACAACAAGUUCACUUCAUCUUUGGUCUUCAUCAAGCAUAACCAUGUCAUUCUGGUACAAGCAUCAAUAAAAGUAACAAACCAACGUGAGCCACUCAAAGUUGGGACUUUGGAUGGGCCCCAAACAUCAGAAUGUAUAACCAUAAAAGGAAACGAACUUUUAUUCAAAAUUAAUGGAAACGAAGCACGAUGGCUUUUAGCCAAUUCACAAAUAUCACAACGGAAACCAGAAAUAUCACUCUUUGCAAACAAACUAGGAAACCAUUUUUUUAAAUAACCAAAGGAAGCAUAUCCCAGACGUCGAUGCCACAACCAAAUUUCAUACUUUUUCUUCUCCCCCUCAGAUCCAUCUGCCAUCAAGACUUGUUGCAACUUAUUUGAAUCCUUUGACUGCAAGUCCAAGUAAUAGAGUUUUCCCCGCUUAAUACCACAACCAAUCGUUUGUCUUGUUUGGAUGUCUUUAAUCACACAAAAUUCAGGCAAAAAAAUGACAAUACAUGAUAAGGUUGCAGUGAUUUGAGAAACUGACAAAAGAUUGUAAUCUAAAGAUGGAACAACUAAAAUAGAAUCCAAAUUCAAAGUACCAGUAAGAGUUAAGGAUCCUUCCCCAAUGACUGGGGUUGUGUUACUAUUGGCUGUGGAAACAAUUUUUUGUGAGGAAGGUCUAAGGGGUGAAACCUGUCUAGAAUCAAAAGUCAUAUGAUCUGUAGCACCAGAAUCAAUUAUCCAUGCACUAUUAAUAACAGGUGUAAAAGUAUUUAAAAACUUACCACCAUGAUCAAUAGCGACUACCAAUGCAGAGGCUUUCUCAGUAACAUUAGCCUCUGUUUUUAUUUCGGCAACAGUUGCAGUCGAAGUUUUCUUGGAAUCCUUUUUCCGUUGAUCACAAUUAUUAUCAUUAAUAACAAAGUGUUGAUAGCCUAAACAUGAUCUAAAUGUCCAUGGUUCAAACCCUCGGUUCCUCAUUGUUUUCCUGGUCAUACCAAGAGUCGUUACUUUGAAAUUGUGGGAUAUCCAGACUGGUGGGACCAGUCUUAUUGCAGUGAGUGCAUUUGAAGGUUGACUUAUCAAUAUUAGGGCUUGUCUUAGGAUGGUUGAUCGCUGUCGGACUACCAUGGUGACAAAAUAUCCAGGAUUUCAGUUCAAUGGCUCUGAUACCAUCUUCAAAUUGAUAAAUGAUAGUUUUUUCAUUCAUACUUUCAUUCGUUCAUGUACAGAGUAUAUAUAGAGGGUAAUCACCAUUCUAAGAAUGAGAAAUAAUGAUACAAGGAAAUAACAACUAAUAUCCUAAUAUCUCAACUUUCCUAAUAUCUCAAUAUUCCUAAUAUCUCAACACUAAAUGAUAUAAGGAAAUAAUAAUAUAAGGAAAGCAUUCCUAAUAUCUCAACAUUAUCUUCUUUUGCAAAGUUUGUGUUAAUUUCUCUUAGCUCAAAAGAGUCCUCAAAAACCUUGGAGAGAAAUAAUUGUGGAAAAUCUAUUCUUCACUUAACAUAACAUAAUAGAAAUAAAUAUUAUUAUUUAUGUACAAUUUAAUUAAUCUAUUCCGUAUUUAAAUAAAAUUAAUAAAUUCCUAAUUUGAUUCUAAUAACACAUUACUAAUUUAAUUAAAUUGCAAUUUUAUUUCAUUAUAAUUUUUUUUUUACUAAAUCUCUUAUUCUAUUUAUUACUUUAAACCAUUAUUACUAUUAUCUUAUUUAUUAACCUAGACCUAAAUAUUAUUAUUUUAUUAAUUAUCAAAUUCAAUAGCCACCCAAACCAUUACCCACUUGUCUCUGGCACACACAAAACAAAUAAAACAAGGCAAGUUCUUCCGAUUGUCAUCAUCAUCACUAUGAUGAUUCAUUAUUUAUUUAUUUAUUCUUGGUUUUCCAAGGUCAUCCUUCCAUCAAAUGCACACGCCUCUUUUUUAUUCUUUCUUUCUUUCUUAACCCUAACAUGUCUUUUUUUUUUUUUUUACUUCUAGCAAUGUGCACACAAAUACAAUGCCUCAAAACCAUAAAUACAAGUAUCUAUAUAUGACCCCUCCAAAAUCCAGAAAUCAUGUAAUUCUUCUUAUUAUUUAUUUAUUUAUUUUAUUUUCAAUCUAAAGCCUCCACUAAUGACUUAUUUAUUUAUUAUCUAAAUCUAAAAUUUCUUUUCUUCCUCUGGUUUUUUUUUUUCAUUUUAAAUUUAUUUAUUUAUUUUUCUAUUCCAUUGAAAAUUUUGAAAUUUUCCUAUCUUCAUCGAUAAAUCAACCUAUAUUUGAAAAUUUUCAAACAUUUUGAUCUAAAAGUUUAAUAAACAAACCCUAAUUUUGAUUUAGAUUUAAAAAAAAAAUAUCUAAUAUGUUCGAAACUAACUAAUGAAUCUAAAAUAUUAAUCUAGGGGUUAGAAUUUUAUCGGAAAAGUAUGGACUUCAAACCCUAAACCUUCAAACCUUUACCCCUAUGUGCUCCAAUUCUCUGAUUUUGGUUAAUAAGGUUUUUUGAAUAGAGAAGACAAUAACAAAAAUAAAAAAAUCUAAUUCAUACCUAGGACUAUUAAUGGAAAAAAUGACAUUUUUCCCCUAAUGAAUUUAAUUAAUGUUUAAUUUACUAUUUUACCCCUAAAAUUAAUUUGGGGUGUUAUAGUAUCAAUGGAUGAAAAAAAAAAAUCAAAAGGCGUAGGUCAUAAAUUUUAUUUCAAAAUCAUUUAAGAAUUAAUUAAUUAAAACUCAAAUUUUAAGUUUUUUAAUUUUAAAUUCCUCCCUUAUUCAUUAUUGGAUUAAAUUCUUUUAACUAUUUUUCCCUCUUUUAACUUUAUUAUUUUUUUCAUAAUUUUUAUCAUUAGAACAUAAGCUUUCUUGUUUCUCUUAAGAUUUUGUAAAUCAUUUAUGUGAAAUUUUAAAACCAAAUUAGCUAUCAAUAUUUCUUCUACCUUUUUCUCAAUCAAAUGCAUGAUUUAUUGUUGAUACUUAUCUUGGUUCAUCUAUAAGUGAGACCAUAACAAAAUAGACAUGCUUUUUUUUUCCAUUUGGAAGUCCUAAGGAAUCGACAUGUAGCCCAUAACAAGGACUAUCAAAUUAAUCAUUUAUAGUUUACAAUAAAAUAGAAUGCAUAUUAAAGGGGCUCUAGACUCGCAACUGUGAAUAUAUUGUUUGUUCUAGGUCCAACAGGUCCUCAAAAUUUCAAAAUAUGUUUACAAGGUUAAGAGGAGUCCAUACACAUAUAAUAUAUAUGUAAAAUUGCAAGGUUAAACGUUUUUAAAGAAACACUUCAAUUAAAAGCAUUUCCUAUAAAAACACUUUCAAUCGGACAUUAAUUAUCUUUAGUUAAUUAUCAUCAAUUCCUAAAUAUAAAUUUAUUCUCCUUAUCGGGAAUUUAACUAAAAUGCUUUUUUUUAUUAUCAAAUUAAACUAUGCAAGUGUAGGAAGUAGUUUUGUUCAAUAUGCUCAUAUGCUCUUUAGAUCAUGUUCUCCUUGAGUUGCUUGUUUUUUCUUAACAAAAAAAAUACAGUUUGUCACCCAUUUUGAAGGGAGAUAAUAACGAAAAACUCAUAGUUAAAAAAAAAAAAAUGUGAUUUCAACAGUUUUGGGAAUUAUCACUCUCAACAAUCUAUUAAAAAAUUGUAAAGAUUACAUGUUGGAUCUCCCCAGCCCCAAGGACACUUACUGUCACAAGAAUAAAGGUCACAAGAAACCCAUAUCCUAUCUUCCACCCCAAGCCUGCUUCUGCCAGUCAAAGUCCAAUCACAAUAUUCAGAGCUCCCAAGAUGAGAGCAAGUCUCCCUACCAAGUGAUGUUACUAGUUCCAGUACUUGCGCUGUUUGGAUGUCUUGUCCGGCCUUAGAAUCAAUGCCAUUACCUGAGAAGAAGAAAACUUAGUUUCCAGCAUGCUUGAAGAAAUAUAUUUUGUUACUGUCGAGUGAAGGCCCAGGCAGAGUGAAAACAAACCUGAAGAAUGCCAAGGAAAAACACCAAGGAUCCGAGGGGUCUGUGAAUCUUGAAUUUGGGAAUGCGAUAAAACUCCAGUCCAUUGUAGAGUGUCCUUCCUGCGACGACAGUAGCAAGACCCGGAAGAAAACCCACAAUCUGGAUCGAGAUAUGAAGAUAAAACCAUUGAGGAUCAUGAUGCUUGAAGUAUCUAGGGAUGAUUGCCCCAGAUGGAAGGAGCACGUCCCAUGCAAUUAGGCCCAUGUCUCCAUGACGCGUCUCCAAAUCUCCAGAGUUAUUGACACCAGAGUUAUAUCCUGUGAGACACACAACAGAAAUUUUCCAUAUCAGACUUCAAAGAGUUUUAUCUGAAGCUCCCACUUUAUUUCCUAGAUAUAAGCCCCUCGUCUAGAAUGUAAAAUCCUCUGUUCUCUGUUCAAAUUUCAGCUUUGCAAUUGGAGUCAAUACAUCUCGUAUUCAAUUCAAUCCUCAUCUUUUUAUGGCCUCCUAAAUUCUAAGACCUGUCUGGGUUGUCCAGUUUUGUGAAAAAUUACAUCAUGGGAUUUGAUUCAAUGUUAGGUACAAAAUUUUGGAAAAAUCUGCAAAACCCUCAACAGUUGUGACCACAGCUCAAGACCAAGGUGGGAAUUUACAAUCUAAUAAUGCUGAUGAAUGCUUCAUAGACUGCUCUACGAAACUAGCGUUUGUCAGAAUGCCUGUCCUUUGUUGAAAGACAUGAAGAUCCUCACAUUCUCGAGCAGGAAGAACCUUGGCCGAAAGUAGUUGAUUACUACUCAAAAAGUGCUAUUUGAUAGCCUAUAAUUAAUCAUUUUAAACACUUUUGAGUAGUAGUUUAGGCCUUUUAACUCAAUUGGCAUGUUAAGGAUCCUUUAAAGCAAUUUUAAUCACUUUGUGCAAGUUUUGGUGUUUUUGUUAGUAUUUUGAUCACCAAAGCAAGUCAAGACUGAGGAGAGCUAUGAGGAAUCUUGGGCAAAGCUUAGAAGUCAUUUGCCAAGAGUGAAUCCGGAUUGCAAGGAGUAAAAGCAAAGAGAAUCUGCCAUAAAACAUAUUCUUGAUGACAGUCGUAGCAGCCACUUUUGGAGCACUUUAUUAAGUCCAAAUUAUGCAUGCUAUAUACCAUUUCAAAGCUCAGGAAGUCAACAAUCCAAUGCUUUAAACGGUGUGCAAUUCGGAGUUGAAACGAAGAAGUUGCAGCCAUUGCAAGCCAAUCACUCCGAGCUGAAGGAAGCAUUUUGCAAAGUGUUGCGAAAUCACCCUUUUGUUGCGAAGUGAUUUCGCAGCAUUUUUGUACAGUAAGGUGUAUCUCCUUCUGACGAUGCACGAUUUAUGCCGCGAGAAGGAAGCUAGGAACCUCAAGGUGGAAGCCAACUUUGCAGCCUGGUGAAGAUAGCUUGGUGUUGCGAAAUUAUUUCGCAGUCCUCUUGAGUGUCUGCGAAAUCUCGCAGACACCAUUUUACUCCUGCGAAAUGGUUCCUGAAGCCUCCCGAUAUUUGCUACCGACAUUGGGAGAUAUUUUCCAUUAGAUUUUUGUUGUCUAAAUCCCAAAAUACUCCUUGUAAACCACCAAUUACAAGAUUCCUUAGCUUUUAAGUUAGUAAAAAGACUAAAUAUUUUUGUAACAAUUAGUUUUAUAUUAUGUUGAUAUAUAUACCUCUCGGGAGCCUGUUCUCGGGGAGGAGAUUCUUCUGUAAAAGUUUGGGUAAGCAAGUAAAGUCUAUUUUCUUUCUACUGCCUUACCUUCUCACUUUGUAUUUUCAUUUUAUUUCUAAGUUAUGAAUUCUCUGAGGAGUUUUCCCCAGAGAAUGAGUAACUAAACCUCUAAUUCCUUGGAGCUAAGGUUGCCGGGGAAGGUUCCAAGUGCAAGAAUGCAAAGCUUUGUGGUUUUAGAUUUUAAUGAAGAGGAAGUGAAAUCCUUUAGUGAUUUCUAUGUUUUUAGUUAACUUAAAACACCUUAGAGUCACCUGGGCCAACACUUGGUAAGGCAAGUGAUUUCCAACUAUGGAAAUGCACUAGUUUACCUCUUGCAAGCCUCUGGGAGGUGACUUCAAGGUAGGAUUUUCUGGAAUUACCAACACUUGGUAAGCUUUUGGACUCCUAGGAGACAUCCAUUAGUUAUCUCUUGCGAGUUUGUGAAGGGAAGUCCAAGGUUAAAGAUCAUCUUGAAUGGUAAGUGCUCGUGAGAGGCAUGAACCAUUGCAAGUUGCAUCAGUGAGAGAAUUAAAGUGAAAUCUAAUUGAAGGAAUCUCUGUACAACACCGGUUAGAGAAUUGACUAUAUGUUGAAUCUCUAACGCGAGGAAAUGAACCAUCUGACCAGGGCCGUGUCUUUUGCAUGAGGAACCACCCCAGUGAACCUAAAUCUCCAAGGAAUGCUUUUCUUCCUAAAUUAUUCCAAACUUCUGUUAUGUUAGUUAGUUUAAGUCUAAACCUUUACCAAUCAAAGUUUGUGUUUUACUUCUUAAGCUAACCGUGAAAUGAAACAAGACCAAUUCACUUGGAAUUGGUAUCAUUGAUUGCUUGUUAAUUAUUCCCAGUGAACGAUCCUAGAGCCACUAUACUAUAGUAGCUUUUUAUUUGCUACCCUAGUGUAUGGUGUUAUAGGUAUAAAUUUUGUUGAUCACUCCCUCAUCCAAGGAGCACCAGCUGGACAUGGAUCAGCUGAGACACCAAUUGGGCAUAAAUCAGUAGUCGGCAAAGGAUAAGAAGGCUGGGAUCAUUUCACACUGAACUUUACUCCAGCUACUUUGGUUAACCGGAUUCAUCCCAGAGAAACCCUGUGAAGAUCGCAGCCUUGUUUGAGCUCUUUGAAUAGAGUGAAAUAACAGAGCAGAAGCUGAUCAAACCUGGCAUGGAGGGCCCCCCAUUAAUAAAAUCAACUUCUCCAACCAUCCGGUGAUGCAGAUUGUUUGGCAGCCUCAGAAGCUGAGACACGGUCAUCGGCAUUCCCACACUACUCCACGACAGCCCUGCAUCACAACCAAUUUACGGGUCUAUUACAAAUGAGAGGGAGAAAAAGAGAUUUUCAUGUUAAUGAAAUCAUUCACCUUAGGAUCGAACUGAAACGAUAAACAUCAAUGAUUCCGGAUGAUUGAAUUUGAGUGCAUCCCCAGCAGGCUCUUCAUAUUCAGUAGCCUACUUGGUUACUGAUACACCUGCAAAGUUGAAAGCAACAGGAGGUAAAAUCAUCACAUUCUUUAAUAAAAAUGUCAUCACAUACGACUCUUUAGCUGAUAUAGAUACAAAUGAACUACCUGAUUGAGGGGCCCUUCAAAGGAAAAUAUGUUCCAAAGGUUGCAAGGACAUCACAUGGUGGCAGAUCAUGCUUCUGAAUAACCUGCACAUUCCACCCUUCAAAUAUAUUAGAAAAAUAAUAUAAUUGUAGUUUUAUAUUAUAAUAGAAGUUCAAAAAAAAAAAGAGAAAUUAUGCACGAUUGCUUGCACCCACCUCAUGGAUGUCAUAACAGUAUGCCUUCUUGCUUUUACAUUUUACAGUAAUAAUAGAUCGAUAACAAAUUUACAUGGAGAAGUGAGAACCCUCAGCUAGUUUCAUCCCCAUGACCAUGAUCCAGCAGCUCACCCAACGUAAUCACAGAAAACGGUUUUGACAAUAGUGGCCACUGUUUUGAGAGUGCUCGAGCAACUUGUUGCAUAGUUGGCCGAGAUUGGGGAUUAACACACAAACAUGCAAAUGCCAACUUCACUGCAACCACUACUUCCUCUGCCACUUGAUUCACAGGAGGUGAGGGGCGCUGGUCUAUCACAUCAUUCAGCAGGAAAUGGCCGACCGUUGAUGGUGAUGCAGAUGAGGAGGACGCUGAUGAUAACAGGGAUGAGAUAAGCUCUCCGGGAUGCCUUCCCAUAAUUACUUCUAAUGUCACAACACCGAAGCUAUAAACAUCGGUUUUAUUAUCCACCUUCAUUGUGUAAGCAAGUUCUGCAAAAGAAGAUUAGAUCAUGCUCUGCUCUGCUAAGCAAUUAGAAACGUUACAUAUGACGUAUAGAGGCCAUUUAGAGAUAAGCAAGGCACUAAGAAAAAUGUACCUGGAGCUGUAUAACCAAAAGUUCCUGCAAAUGAAGUCCAAUUAGAUGAGUCUGACUUUAAAAGCCUAGCCGUGCCGAAGUCAGAUACAUGAGCUUCAUAUUCUGAAUCUAACAAAACAUUGUUGCUCGAUAUGUCUUGAUGAAUUACAGGAGGUGAGCAAUCAUGGUGCAUAUAAGAUAAAGCUUUAGCCACGCCUUUAAUAACGUUUAGCCUCACAGUCCAAUCUAAUCUUUCUGCUUCUUCGUCGUUGCAUAGAAUGUUUUGCAAACUCCCCUUUUCCAUAAACUCAUAAACCAAAAAUGAGUUCUUUGCAAAUGAACUGAAGCCAUAAAGCUUGACGAUGUUGUGGUGCCUUAUCUGUGUUAAAGCAUAAAUCUCGCUUUUGAAAGCUUUCAAAUCAGCCAUAUCUCCAUCUUCUGAUGAGUGAAGCUUUUUCACAGCAACAACCCGACCUGUUGGCAACUCAGCCUUGUAAACAGUACCAUAUCCUCCAGUGCCAAUACACUGUUUCGAACUGAAAUUGUCGGUCCCCUGUAUGAUGUGCUCAUACAACAAUUCCCCAUCAUGGCCCCAUAUUGCAAAUAGAUCUUCAACAUCUGCUUCAGGAGACUUGGUUUUUCUCUUCCUCAAUUUUUGGAAAAGAAAAUAAAUGCCAGUAAUAAAAGCAAAUAAGAACAAUAGACUGCUCACAAUAAGGAGUAUUAUGAUCAAAAUAGAAAACUUGCUGGCCUUCUUUUGACUAGCACCGCAUGGCUUGAGAUGAGUGACAUUAUUACCACACAGACCUUUAUUAUUUUUGAAUGCCUCAAAUUGAGCAAAUGCUUUGAUGUUGGGGAGAGGACCUUCCAACUGAUUGUAGGAUAUAUCAGCAACUGUCAGGCUUAUCAAAUCAUAAAACGUGUGUGGGAUGGUGCCAGAGAGAUCGUUAUGGGAGAGAUUCAACGUUUCUAGGUUCUGUAAUUCUCCAAGGUGCGGUGGAACCUCUCCUGUCAACAUAUUUUGACUAAGAUCGAGACUUUCAAGAUGAUGCAUCUUUCCAAUUUCGUCAGGAAUGCUAUCCACAAAUCUAUUCUCGCUCAAGUUCAAGGACCAUAAUUUCCAGAAGUUUCCCAGUUGCUUGGGAACUGGACCGCUUAAGUUGUUUGAUGCCAAGUCAAGGAUUUCAAGAUUGGAUAAGUUUCCUAAUUCCAGAGGAAUACUUCCUGAAAGUUUGUUGUUGCCUAGCAACAAUUUGAACAAUAAGGGAAACAUACCCAAUUCUUUUGGGAUCUUCCCAAUUAGAUGAUUUGAGGAGAGAUCAAGUUGUUGCAGUUGAAUUGCUUUCCCAAGUUGAGGUGGUAUAGCACCAGAAAUUUUAUUGUUGGAGAUGUUCAGGUUUGUGAGCAUGUGGCACUCCCCCCAUUUCUCAGAAAGCUCACCAUAAAAAUUGUUAUUGCUCAGAUCAAUAUAAUUUAGAUUAGGGUAUACACCAAAACUUUCGGCUAUGUCUCCAGUAAGUUGGUUUUUUUCAAGCCUAACUCUGAAUAAGCUAGUGCAAUUUUUCAAGCUCUUUGGAAUAGGACCAGUGAAAUGGUUCAUUUGGGCUGAAACUUUUUCAAGAGCAUUACCAAGGCAUAUCUCUUGUGGUAGGUGGCCAAUGAAGUUAUUCUCAGCAAUUUGCAAAGAUUUCAAAUGAGUGAUAUUAUUCAUUUCUAGAGGAAUGGCACCACUGAGUCUGUUGUAAUGAAGGGCCAAAAAGUUUAAGCCGGACAAGUUUCCAAAGGAUGGAGGGAUCAGACCAGUGAGACUAUUAUUUGCCAACUCAAGAUCAUUAAGUGAUGUCAACAAUCCAAUCUCUUGAGGAAUAGAACCGGAUAGUUUGUUUGUAUGAAGGUACAAAGUGGUUAAGUUCCUCAAGUUACCUAUGGAAUGAGGGAUUGGACCGGUGAGAUUGUUAAUUGACAACGCAAGAUCAUUAAGUGAUGUCAACAAUCCAAUUUCUUGAGGGAUGGAACCAGAAAGCUUGUUCUCAGAAAGAUCUAAAGUGGUUAAAUUUCUCAAGUUUCCAAAGGAUGGAGGGAUCGGACCAGUGAGACUAUUAUUUGCCAACUUAAGAUCAUUAAGUGAUGUCAACAAUCCAAUCUCUUGAGGAAUAGAACCGGAUAGUUUGUUUGUAUGAAGGUACAAAGUGGUUAAGUUCCUUAAGUUACCUAUGGAAGGAGGGAUUGGACCGGUGAGAUUGUUAAUUGACAACGCAAGAUCAUUAAGUGAUGUCAACAAUCCAAUUUCUUGAGGGAUGGAACCAGAAAGCUUGUUCUCAGAAAGAUAUCAAGUGGUUAAAUUUCUCAAGUUUCCAAAGGAUGGAGGGAUCGGACCAGUGAGACUAUUAUUUGCCAACUCAAGAUCAUUAAGUGAUGUCAACAAUCCAAUCUCUUGAGGAAUAGAACCGAAUAGUUUGUUUGUAUGAAGGUACAAAGUGGUUAAGUUCCUCAAGUUACCUAUGGAAUGAGGGAUUGGACCGGUGAGAUUGUUAAUUGACAACACAAGAUCAUUAAGUGAUGUCAACAAUCCAAUUUCUUGAGGGAUGGAACCAGAAAGCUUGUUCUCAGAAAGAUCUAAAGUGGUUAAAUUUCUCAAGUUUCCAAUGGAUGAAGGGAUCGGACCAGUAAGACUAUUAGUUGCCAACUCAAGAUCAUUAAGUGAUGUCAACAAUCCAAUCUCUUGAGGGAUAGAACCAGAAAGCUCAUUCUCAAAAAGAUGUAGAGUGGUUAAGUUUCUCAAGUUUCCUAUGGAUGGAGGGAUUGGACCAGUGAGACUAUUAAUUGCCAAUUGAAGAUCAUUAAGCGAUGUCAACAAUCCAAUUUCUUGAGGAAUAUAACCAGAUAGUUUGUUUUUAUGAAGGUACAAAGUGGUUAAGUUCCUCGAGUUACCUAUGGAAGGAGGAAUUGGGCCUCUGAAAUUAUUAAAACACAAUGCUAGAACACUAAGAGAUGUUAGAAAUCCAAGUUGGGGAGAUAUUACACCAGUAAAACGAUUGAAAGUAAAGUUAAGAUUUGUGAUUAGUUUAGAAAGAUUACCAAUGUUGAUUGGAAUGGUUCCAUAAAGGGAGUUGUUAUAAAGAUUAAGAGUGAGAAGGUUAGGGAGUGAUGAGAAAUUGAGAUUGUGGAGUGUACCUCUCAAACCGCAAUUGUCAAGGUCUAAAUUGGAGACACUUCCUGACCUGUGACAAGUCACUCCAAACCAAUGAUGGCAAGAAUUGCGUCCAGACCAAGAAGAAAGGAAAGAUUGGGUUUGAUUAUCAAGACUGGUCUUCCAUGUUAGAAGAGCAACUGCCUCUUGAUCUUGUUCAACUUUCAAAAGAGAAGUGGUAGGUGUAGAGGCAGAUGUAAAAGUGACAUGGAAUAAUGAUAUCGAGUACAGAAGGAAAAGGAGAAAUAUGAAUAAGCAAGGAGUGAUGAUGAGUCGGGGGAGUAAGGAGUAGGAUGAAAAAUAUUCAAGCACCAUUGUUGAAUUGGUAGAAAUGAAGUUAUUAAGAGGUUUACCUGGAGGGAAGGAUGAAGACGAAACACUUAUUUAUAGACUUAAAUGUGAUACAUCCAAGAUUUCCAUUAGUUGGUGUUGACAUCUAACCAUUUGCUUUGUCUACGAUUAAUGGAAUUGAAAAGUAUUAUAUACAUGCAUGAGCUCAAUUCCACACUUAUUUUAUUUUAUCAAAAUGCUCUUAAUUUUUUUAUUAAAAUUUACACCUGUAAUUACAUAUGAAAUAAUUAAAAAUAUUCCUUUUUCACUCUAUGCACUUUUAAAUAUAACUUGUUUAAAAUUAAUCAUUACAAUUCAUUUUAAGAAGUAAGGACCAAAUAUACCCACGUCAACAACCUAGUUGAUAUAGGAAGUCCACUUUAACCAACAUUACUCAUUGUUUAGAUUGAAUUCUUUUAACUAUUUUGCCCUGUGAGAAAUAAACUCUUUUAACUUUAUUAGUUCUUUCAUAAUUUUUAUCCUUACAAUAUGAACUAUCUGAUUUCUCUUAAUAUUUUAUAAAUCAUUUAUGUUAUAUUUCAAAACAAAAUUAGUUGUCAUUUCUUCUACUUCUUUCCCAGACAAAUGCAUAAUUUGUGGUUGAUGUUUAUUAGUUUUAUUAAAGGUGUUUACAAUUUGUAAGUGAGACCCAUCAUCUAUGAAAAAUAUAGACAUGCUUUUUUUCAGUUGAAAGUCUUAAGGAACUAGUAUUUGGACCACAACAAGAACUAAGGGCUACCAAAUUUUCACUUUGUUUUACAUCCAAAUAAAACACACAAUCCUUUAUGUAUUGUCUAUUCUAAGCCAAGGGGCUCUCAAGGCUUUAAAAUGCAUCUCUAAGAUUAAGAGGAGCCUAACAUAUAUAUCAUCAUGAGCUUUUUUUCUCUAUCCGACGUGAGAUGUCAUAAAAAUUGUUCAACAAGACUAAUGCAUUUGUGAAGCUCAAAAGAAUCACAAAAAUCAAAGGAAGAUUUUUUGGGCAUUACAACAUAAAAGAUGCAGGACCCUUGUACACAUGCAUUUUCCUUAUCAAACAAUUGUCUUGACAAGCCAUUCUAAAGCCCACUUGGCUUGCCAUCACUAGUGAUGGACCUACAUCAUUCAAAUUCUCGAUGCUCUUGAAAAGGCCAUAUGCACUUGAAGUAAAAAGAGCUUUGAAUUUUUGUUAGAUACUUCGUUUUUUCUAUUUGGAAACAUAUUUUUCUUUUCUUUUUUUGUUCUUUUUUUUUAAUAGAACGUUUACCCUCCUAGAGUGUAAAAUCCUCUAUUUUCUGUUCAAAUUUCAGCUUUGCAAUUAGAGUCCUAAAUUCUAAACCUUGUCUGGGUUUUCCAGUUUUGUGAAAAAUCACAUCAUAGGGACCCAACAAGAUGGGAUUUGAUUCAAUGUUAGAGACAAAUUUUGGAAAAAUCUACAAAACCCUCAACAGUUGUGGCCAUACCAUAGCUCAAGACCAAGAUGGGAAUUUACAAUCUAAUAAAGCUGAUGAAUGCUUCAUAGACGUGAAGGUCCUCACAUUCUUGAUCGGGAAGAACCUAGGCCGAAAGUAAUCAGCAAAGGAUAAGAACGCCAGGAUCAUUUCACACUGAAACACUUUACUCCAACUACUCUGGUUAAACGGAUUCAUCCUAGAGAAAACUAUGAAGAUAGCAGCCUUGUUAUAGACUUAAAUGUGAUACAUCCAACAUUCCCAUUAGUUGGUGUUGACAUCCAACUACCUCCUUGUCUACAACUAAUGGAAUUGAAAAGGAUUAUAUGGCUCAAUCCCAUGCUUAUUUUAUUUUAUUUUAUCAAAGUGCUCUUAAUUUUUAUUAAAAACACUUGGAGUGCUUCUUCUUGGAUAAACACUUGAUGAGUAUUUCUUUUAAAGGAUAAGAGAAAUAUGAAAAAUACUAAUAUUUCAUAAAAAUAUUCAUUUUACAAAAAUACAUUCUUCUAGUAUUUUUAUUAAAAAUAAUUUUAGAAAUACUCUUACCAAAUGGUGGAAAAUUCUUAACAUGAGUGCAAAUUAAUUUUUAUUUUGAAAAAGUUUUACUAAAUGGAAAAAAAUUCUUCCUCGAAUUUUAUGUGGAUAUGAAUUACUUGGAUAAAAUUGGAGCUUUGUCCAUAUCAUGUUAGUGACUUAUUUUGUUGAGAUAUAUAGUUAUAAGACAAAUCUCACCCAAAUAUCUUUUUUUCGUAGAAGACAAAGCUCAUUGCCUUGAAUGAUAGGAUCUAGAGAUGCACAAAAGUGUGCUUUUUUAUUUAAAAAAAUGUGUUCUAUGACUAGCAUGUAUUUCAAAUUUAAGUUCAACCAAAAAGACCGCUCAAUCUCCUAAGAGCUCUUUAGAGAUGAAAACCAAUUUUAAUUAUAUCAAAUAAAAAUAUAUAAUUAUUAUUUCUUAAGAUGGUAUUGUUAAAUUGCCAAUUUUUAAAAAUUUUAUUAUGGUAAAAAAUGUUAACAUUUUGGGAAAAAAAUUAUUACUAUUUUUUUUUCAAACUAGCAGUCUUGAAAUAUUUUGUCUUAAUUAUAUAAAAAAUGAUAAUUAUUUUUGUAUAGACAAUGAUAUUUAAUUAGUAAUUUUUAGAUAUUCUUAGCAUGUAAAAAGAAGUAGACUUGACAUUUAAUAAUAUUUUGAUACCACUUUAAUCAAAUAUAUUAUUCAAAGUUAUACAUCUAGCUCUAUUAAAUUUAAGUUAAAUGAAGGUAUAGUCGAAAUUCAUAUUGACAAACAAAUGUUACCUAAGUGUAAUUCCUAUGACAUUGUAGUGAAGCAUAAUUUUUUUUUUCUUUUUAAGUAGAAUUAUAUGAAAACUUAAUUUAUUUUAAGCAUGCAUUAAAAUAAUGAUUUGUCUUUUAUUAAUUAAAAAACUAAAAAAAAAAUUGUACUAUUUAUUAUUAUUAAAAAAGAUUUCUUACUUUCAAUUAAAAUUACAUAUUUACAUAAGAAUAUAAAGUUCCCUUUCCAAUUGCAUGUUUUUAGUCUAGACAUUUAUUGUCUUUGAUAGGGUGGAAAAGUCAUUGCAUUCUUGAUUUUUAUUAACAAUUGUGUGGAAAAGUUGUUGUUUUCCUAAUUCUUGUCAAUAAUUGUGUUCAAAAGUCAUUGCAUUCCUAAUUCUUAUCAACAAUAGUUUUUAAGGAAUCUAUACCUAAUAUUCACAUUAUCAAUAGUAUAUGAAAAUGAUCCUAAUUGAUGUGAGUGGUCUAAUUAGAGUGAAGUAUAUAAGAAUAUCAUUUAUUAAAUCUUAGUAUUAAAAUAAAAAGUAGCAAUUGAAUCCAUUAUAUCAAGACUUGAGGAAUGUGAGGAAUCUAAAUUAAUUUUCUUUCCCUAUAAGGUAGAAUUUGCAUUGAAACUCCAUCUACUUUAAUUUAAGGGAUAGCACAAACAAAGUCGUAGGUGUGACAUGCUUUUAUGUAAAAACAAUUUAAGAGUGGUUUGUGCUUUUUAUAAUAGGUAUCAUGAAAAAGAACAUGCUCAAAAUGUAAAUUUUUUAUUUUUUUAAAUAAUAUUACAUUAUUUUAAUUCAAUUUUCAAGUUAAUUAAAAGCAAAACUUAGAUCAUGGAUUGGACAUAAUGACAAUAAAUUUCUCCUAUUAAUAGAUUUAACAAUAAAAAAGAUGAGUCUUUUUUUUUUCAAGUUAAUUACUAAUUUCUAAAAUUUUUAUUAUGGUAACAAAUGUUAAUAUUUUGAAAUAUUUGAAAAUAUGUUAAUUAUCAUUUUUUGCCAAAUUAUUAAUCUUCAAAUAUUUUUAUUUUAAUUAUAUAAAAUAAAAACAAAUAUAAUAAUUAUUUUAUUACAAACAAAGAAAUUUAAUUAUUAAUUUUUAGUCUUAGCUUAUAAAAGGAAGUAGAUUUAACACUUACAAGAACACCACUUUUAAACAAAUAUGUUAUUCCAAGUUAUACAUAUAGUUCUAUUACAUUUAAGUUGAUGCCAGUGGUAUGAUCAUAGUGAUGUAUAUAUUAGUAUUAAAACAAAAAGUCACAAUUGAGUCUUUUGUAUUUAGACUAAGGAAUAAUUAUAACAAUGGUGAAACCUAGAUUAAUUUUUUCCAUCUUUAUAAGGUAAAAUUUGUAUUGAAACUUCAUCUAUUUCAAGGCAUAGCACAAAUGAAGUUGCAAGGAUGACAUGCCUUCAUGUAGAAAUAAAAUAGAAUUUCAUUGUCUAAAUAGGAUAUUUUAUUAUUAUUGUAAACAAAUUUUUUUACUUCUUCCUUUGUUAGCAUCAAGAACUCAGAAAAUAUUUGCUUCACAAUGUUGAGCAUUGAUGCAUCUAUUUAAUAGUGAUUUGUGCCUUUUAGAUUACAUAUUUUGAAAAAAGAUAUGUUCGAAAUGUAAAUUUUACUAUUAUUUUUUUUUUCAAAUGAUACUCUAUUAUUUCAAUUUAAUUAAAAGGGAGACUUAGGCCAUGGGUCAAACACAAUGACAAUAAAUUUGUCCAGAUGGAUUUAACAAUCGCAAAUAUGGUUUUCUUUUUUUUGAAUACAUAUAAAAGAGAAUUUAUGAUCUAGUUUUUUUAUAGACUUAAAAGAACAAAAAAAAUCAAUUAUUGAAUAUACCUACCAAUUCAAUUACCUUAGAAAAAUUAAAACUUGUGCAUAUUUGUUGCUCAGUUUACAAUUCUUAACAAAUUAAUAGAAAAGAAUUAAACAUUCAAGGCAAAAAAAAAUAGGUCCAUUCAAUUUUCCUUUGAAAUGAUAGUGGGUUGUUUUAAUGGGAUUUGAAGUUUGGGUCAAACUUGAUAUAAUAUUGUUUUACCCUUGAAAUUGAUAACGAUAAUGGGUCAUGUAUAAUGGGAUUUGAAAUCCAAAUCUUAGUGGGAUAUGAACUCUAAGUCAAAUAAUGAUAAUUGGUUUGUUUAGUGGGAUUUAAAAUUUGAGUCUUAAUGGUCUUCGAAGUCAUCAAAUAAUGAUAAUUGGCAUGUUUAGUGGAACUUGAACUUUGAGUUUGAAUGGGGUUUGAAGUUUGAGUCAAACUUGAUAUAAUAUUUUACCCAUAAUUGGCCAUCUUUAAUAGCAUUAGAAGUCAUAGUCAAACUUGAUGUAAUGUUUUACCCUUGGAAAUAAUAAUGAUGAUUGGUGGGAUAUGAAGUCCAAAUCUUAGUGGGAUAUGAACUCUAAGUCAAAUAAUGAUAAUUGGUUUGUUUAGUAGGAUUUGAAAUUUAAAUCUUAAUAGGAUUCAAAGUCGUCAAAUAAUGAUAAUUGGCCUGUUUAGUGGGACUUGAACUUUGAGUCUGAAUGGGGUUUGAAUUUUGAGUCAAACUUGAUAUGAUAUUUUACCCACAAUUGGCCAUCUUUAAUAGGAUUGGAAGUUAUAGUCAAACUUGAUAUAAUAUUUUAUCCUUUGAAAUAAUAAUGAUAAUUGGUGGGAUAUGAAGUCCAUCUCUUAGUGAGAUAUGAACUCUAAGUCAAAUAAUGAUAAUUGGUUUGUUUAGUGGGAUUAGAAAUUUAAGUCUUAGUAAGAUUCAAAGUCGUCAAAUAAUGAUAAUUGGCAUGUUUAGUGGGACUUGAACUUUGAGCUUGAAUGGGAUUUGAAGUUUCAGUCAAACUUGAUAUAAUAUUUUACCCACAAUUGGCCAUCUUUAAUAGGAUUGGAAGUCAUAGUCAAACUUGAUAUAAUAUUUUACCCUUUGAAAUAAUAAUGAUAAUUGGUGGAAUAUAAAGUCCAAAUCUUAGUGGGAUAUGAAAUCUAAGUCAAAUAAUGAUAAUUGGUUUGUUUAGUGGAAUUUGAAAUUUAAGUCUUAAUAGGAUUCAAAGUCGUCAAAUAAUGAUAAUUGACAUGUUUAGUGGGACUUGAACUUUGAGUCUGAAUGGGAUUUGACAUUUGAGUCAAACUUGAUAAUUUUACCCUUAAAAAUAAUAACAAUAAUUGAUCAUAUUUUAUGGGAUUUGAGAUCUUAGUCAAACUUAAUAUAAUAUUUUAACCAACAAUGAAAAAUAAAUAAGCAUAUGAUACGAGCUAAGAACUCAUUUCAAAAGUAGGGUCAAAAAUGGUUUUAAAUGCUUAAAAAGUGUGUUUUGCUAUAUAAAAAAAAAUCGUUUUAACGUUAGAAAAUAUAGAUACUUCUUCUAAAAGCCAUUACAAGAAAGACAUGAAAAAUAUUAAAAUUUCAAAUAAAUUUUCAUGUUUGAAAAACAUAUUUUUCUUGCAUUUUUAUUAAAAAUAUGUUCAAACAUACUCUUACAUGAUCUACUUGAGUUCCUAAAAUAAUUACAAACUCUAUUUAAUUUUUAUUUUAAAAUUUUUUUACCUAAGGGUGGAAAAUUCCUCCUCAAAUUAUACAUGGAUAUGAAUUAUUUGGAUGAAAAUUGGAGCUAAUAUCAUAAGAAUGACCUAUUUUAGUGGAAUAUAUAGUUAUUAUAAGAUAAAUCUCACUCAACUAUCUGUUUACUUAUAAGACAAAGUUCACUGCCUUGUAUAAUGGGGUGCAAAAAUACAUAUGAGUGGACACUUUUGACUUAAAGUAUAAUGAGAUGUAAAAAUACAUAUGAGUGAACACUUUUUACUUAAGAUCGUGUUUCACAAUAACAUGUCUUAAAUUUAAGUUCAAAGAAAAGUACCACUUAAACCUCCAAAGAACCCUUGAACAUAACAAUUGAAAAUAAAGAUAAACUCCCUCAUAUGAUAAUAAAAAAUAUUUUUCAAUUGUUAUAAAUUGUGAUCAUGUUACUUAUUAAGUUAAAUAAGAAGUAAAAAGGAUUUUAUAAAAAUGGUAUUUUAAAUGUGAAGUAAAUUUUAAAUGUGCUAAAAAUUUUAGGUCCUCUUUGGACGUGUUUUCUAAUGCUGGUUGAAAAGUUGUUUUUAUGUUAAAGAACAAAAGAUAGUUAUUUAGUAUUUUAUAAAAAUAAGGAUGUUUGAUAAGUUGUUUUUUCAAAAAAUAAAAAUAAGAACUUUUUUGGAUAAGUUGUUUAUAAAAAUAAUUUUCCUAUUUUGAUUUUGUAAAAACAUUAUAAAUUUAAUUUAUGUAAUAUUAAUUAAAUUUAAUUAAAGUCUUAUUGAAAAUAAAAAAAUAGUUUUUAAUUACAAAUAAAUUAAAAAAAUAAAUAGUUUUUAGUAAAAUAUGAACAAUAAUAUUAUAAUAAAAUCAUAAAUAAAAAAAAUUAUAAAAAAAUAUUAUUUUAGUAUAUUUUUUAUGCUAAAGCUCCUAAUGGGCUUCGAAGUCAUCAAAUAAUGAUAAUUGACAUGUUUAGUGGGACUUGAACUUUGAGUUUGAAUAGGGUUUAAAGUUUGAGUCAAACUUGAUGUAAUAUUUUAUCCACAAUUGGCCAUCUUUAAUAGGAUUGGAAGUUAUAGUCAAACUUGAUAUAAUAUUUUACCCUUGGAAAUAAUAAUGAUAAUUGGUGGGAUAUGAAGUCCAAAUCUUAGUGAGAUGUGAACUCUAACUCAAAUAAUGAUAAUUGGUUUGUUUAGUGGGAUUAGAAAUUUAAGUCUUAAUAGGAUUCAAAGUCGUCAAAUAAUGAUAAUUGACAUGUUUAGUGGGACUUGAACUUUGAGUCUGAAUGGGAUUUGAAGUUUGCGUCAAACUUGAUAUCAUAUUUUACCCACAAUUGACCAUCUUUAAUAGGAUUGGAAGUCAUAGUCAAACUUGAUAUAAUAUUUUACCCUUUGAAAUAAUAAUGAUAAUUGGUGGAAUAUGAAGUCCAAAUCUCAGUGGGAUAUGAAAUGUAAGUCAAAUAAUGAUAAUUGGUUUGUUUAGUGGGAUUUGAAAUUUAAGUCUUAACAGGAUUCAAAGUCGUCAACUAAUGAUAAUUGGCAUGUUUAGUGGGACUUGAACUUUGAGUCUGAAUGGGAUUUAACGUUUGAGUCAAACUUGAUAAUUUUACCCUUGAAAAUAAUAACGAUAAUUGGUCAUAUUUAAUGGGAUUUGAGAUCUUAGUCAAACUUAAUAUAAUAUUUUAACCAAUAAUGAAAAAUAAAUAAAUAUAUGAUAUCAACUAAGAACUCAUUUCGAAAGUAGGGUCAAAAAUUGUUUAAAAUGCUUAAAAAGUGUGUUUUGCUAUAAAAAAUAAAUCAUUUGAAAAAAAAAAUCGUUUUAAAGUUAGAAAACAUGAAUAAACACUUAGAUAUUUCUUCUAAAAGCCAUUACAAGAAAGACAUGAAAAAUAUUAAAAUUUCAAAUAAAUUUUCAUGUUUGAAAAACAUAUUUUUCUUGCAUUUUUAUUAAAAACAUGUUCAAACAUAUUCUUAUAUGAUCUACUUGAGUUCCUAAAAUAAUUACAAACUCUAUUUAAUUUUUAUUUUAAAAUUUUUUUACCUAAGGGUGGAAAAUUCCUCCUCAAAUUAUACAUUGAUAUGAAUUAUUUGGAUGAAAAUUGGAGCUAACAUCCAUAUCAUAAGAAUAACCUAUUUUAGUGGAAUAUAUAGUUAUUAUAAGAUAAAUCUCACCCAACUAUCUCUUUACUUAUAAGACAAAGUUCAUUGCCUUGUAUAAUGGGAUGCAAAAAUACAUGAGUGGACACUUUUGACUUAAAGUAUAAUGGGAUGUAAAAAUACAUAUGAGUGGACACUUUUUACUUAAGAACGUGUUUCACAAUGACAUGUGUCUUAAAUUUAAGUUCAAAGAAAAGUACCACUUAAACCUCCAAAGAACCCUUGAACAUAAUAAUUGAAAAUAAAGAUGAACUCCCUCAUAUGAUAAUAAAAAAUAUUUUUCAAUUGUUAUAAAUUGUGAUCAUGUUACUUAUUAAGUUAAAUAAGAAGUAAAAAGGAUUUUAUAAAAAUGGUAUUUUAAAUGUGAAGUAAAUUUUAAAUGUGCUAAAAGUUUUAGGUCCUCUUUGGAUGUGUUUUCUAAUGCUGGUUGAAAAGUUGUUUUUAUGUUAAAGAAUAAAAGAUAGUUAUUUAGUAUUUUAUAAAAAUAAGGAUGUUUGACAAGUUUUUUUUAAAAAAAGUAAAAAAUAAAAAACUUUUUUGGAUAGGUUGUUUAUAAAAAUAAUUUUUCUAUUUUGAUUUUGUAAAAACAUUAUAAAAUUAAUUUAUGUAAUAUUAAUUAAAUUUAAUUAAAGUUUUAUUGAAAAUAAAAAUAGUUUUUAAUUACAAAUAAAUUAAAAAAUAAAUAGUUUUUAGUAAAAUAUGAACAAUAAUAUUAUAAUAAAAUCAUUAAAAAAUAUUAUUUUAGUAUAUUUUUCAUGCUAAAGCUCCUAUGAAAUUUUAGGUAGAUACAUGUCUUCUAGUGGAUAAUUAUAGUCUUUUUCAACUCGGAGAUCCUUCACGACAUGAGCCACCAACCAUUCCUCAUACAAAAUCUUGCCAAAUUAACCUUGAGAAUAUUCCUCAACAUCCUAUUCCUCUUCAUCUCAACCAUCCUCUCCCUUUGUCUCCUCCACCUCUCUUGAACACCACUCCCCUCCGCCCCAAUCUCCCACCCUCUCAUCUCAUGGUCCAGGUGCUAAAGUCAUUGAAUACAUCUUGUAUUGUAUUCAAUCCCAUGUUUUUCUGGCCUCAUAAAUUCUAAACCCUAUCUAGGUUUUCCAAUUUUGUGAAAAAUUAUAUGGAUUAAAUUCAAUGUUAGAGACAAAAUUUUGAACAAAUCUGCAAAAACGCUCAACAGUUGUGGUCAUAGCUCAUGACCAAGAUGGGAGUCUACAAUGUAAUAAUGCUGAUGAAUGAUUCAAAGACUGCUCCAACUAGAUUUUGAAAAUUGUCUAUUUUCCAACAUUUUUGUAUUGAGCUAUUCUCGUAUAAACGGAUUGAAAACAGUUUUUUGAAAAUUUGUUUAAAAAUAAGAGGACUUUUCAUAAAAAAAUUCAGGGUGUUUUAUUAGAGCAAUAGGAGACAUGGAGAAUAUGCCGAUAACUUUUGCAGUGUACAUCAAUGCAUAAUACUUUCAUAGAGAAGAGACUUUUAUUUAAAAAAAAAAAAAAAAAAUUGACUCCUAAUAGAAUUUUAUUACUCCAAACAUUCAGGAGCUAUUCUUAAAAAUCGAUUUGUAAAAAUUAUCGAGCAGACCCACAAUCUGUUCGAGUAACAAAUGGAAAACUUACCAUUUGAUCUUAUUCCAACUACAAUUUAAAAAAAGAAAACAAACAAACAUAUAAAUCCUUAGACAGGACCGAGCAACAAGCAUUGUGGUUUUGUUGUCUGUGGGUGGUCAAAUUUAUCAGUAACCCAAGACUUCCAUGCUCACAAAAGCUCCAUUUUAAUCAAAGGUUGGUGAGAAAAUUACUAACAGGCUCAAGUCUCAUCUUAAAUAGAAGGAAAACAAAAACAUUAUUUACAUGCUUCACCAAUGAAACAUUCAAGUUAUGCAUUGAUAACCAUAAUUUCUGGGGAUAUAACGCUGUUCAACAAGAUUAAUGCAUUUGUGAAGCUCAGACGAAUCGCAAAGAUCAUAGAUGAAAAUCUCUCUAGCAUUACCAAAUAAAAGGUACAACGAAGAAAAAGUUGAUGUAUGUGAUCUUGCUUGGGACUGAGGUGGAUCAAUGUUCAAUAUUUUCCUAAAAUAAGCAGACUAAUUAGUGUAAGAAAUAUUGAUUCAUAUAGAACUUUAACCACAAAAUUCAGAAUUAACUAGGAAGAAGAUGAAAAUACAGAGAAAACUUGAGGGAAGGAGCUAAGACACAGAUGGAGGGAUUGGCUUCACAGCAUUUUGGAUCCGCUGGAAUGCCACUCUCACUCUUUCCUUGAGGCCUUCAUUUUCGCUCUCAACAUUCCCACUCUGUUUAUCAAGAUGCACCACAUUUCCAUCAACGCUUAUCACCAGGUUCCCAUUCCCUUCCAACUUCACAUCUCCAAACAGAGAAACAAGGAGUGCGUGGAUAACCUUUUCUGCUUUCUUCCCAUUUUCUUCUUCAGUUUUCAUGGCCUCUGAUUCAACUACUACCUUGGGGAUCUCAAGACUGAUAUUUAAAACUAGAGCCACAAUGGAGUCAGAGACCAUGUCACUAAUUGGAUCUGAUGUCCAACGCAAUGAAAUAUGCUUCUCCGACUCAUGCUUCACUGUCACCCGUUCAUGGACUUGAAAAGCUGGAACCUCAGAUUCUUCAUCUGGCAAUGACUCAACACUCUCAUAUAUCUGCUUCAGCCUGUGCUUUAUUACACCAAAGGCACCAGUGUAAGGAAUAGUAAUCCUCUGGGUGACAUUUGCCGUGGAUAGCUGUGAGAAGACAUGGAGAUCAUCAGGUGCCAUUAUCUGAUAAGUGAACCCUUUCUUUACCAGUAAACCACUGACAAUUUCACCAACUUCUGGGGUCUUUUCAGCCAGCCUCUCAAUGGUUUUUGCCAUUUUUUCAGAGUUGAAAUACAUUUCAACUGACUGACAGUUCUUUGGGGAAAUAAUUUUGGUGUUGCAGUCAGCAAACUGGGUGAUAAGCUUCUGUUUGAGCCUCCCCAUCUCAUUAGCUUCUCCAUGAACAAGAAUGAUGUUAGGUGGCAUGAGCUCCUUCAAGAAUGUACUUGUCUGUGCAAAAUCUGCAUGGGCAGAGAAAGAAAUGUAAUGGACCUGCAUGUUGAGGGGAGCAGUAAGACCAUUCAUUAAAGUAACUUCCUUGGGUUCAUUAAUGAUGGUUUUUGCCAAUGUCCCUCCCACGACAUACCCAGGUAUAACACAUGCAUUUUUCUUAUCAGAGCACCACAUAUCAAACAGUUGUCUUGACAACCCACUCUGAAGCCCACCCGGGCUCGCCAUCACCACUGAUGGACCUACAUCAUUAAAAUUCUCAAUGCUCUUUAAGGGUGAUAUGUGCUUGAAGUCAAAGGGAUUCGAAUUUGCAAAUUGGUUGCGGAUCCUCUCAUUCAUGGAAUUGAUAUAUGUCUGGUAAACAGCCAUGCACCUUUUUGCAAGGGGGGAAGCAUAAAAUAUGGGAUGUUAUGGAGCUCAGGAUGGUUAGACCAAUACUCAUCAAGGAUAAGAAGGAGUUCUUGGGCACGACCUAGAGCAUAUGCAGGGAUUAGAACACGGCCCCCUUGAGAAAUGGUUGAGUGGAUGACAUCUGUGAAGCGUUUUUCUCGCACAUGCCGAGGCUGAUGGAGUUGGACACCAUAAGUGGAUUCAAUUAUGCAAAUAUCAGGGCAGAACUGUGGAAUCUCAGCAGCACGGAGAUGACGAUCUUCUUCGCUAGAAUAGUCUCCAGUGUAAAGUACUCGGACACCAGCAAUAUCAACCAUAAACAUGGCAGCACCAAGGACGUGGCCAGCUGUGUAACACCAAAAUCGUAUACCAUUUACUUCUAAAGUCUGAUGGAAAUCAAUAACCUGCAGAAGGGAGAUUUAAUUACAGUUACAGGAAGAUUAAAUGAGAUAAGAAAAUUAAGCUACAUAUCUAAAGUCAAUUGUUGUAAAUGGCCCAACAUUCUGCAAUAGAUCAGGAUUAUAUGCAACCAAUAUUUUGGCAUAUGAGAUACACACACACACACACACACCAUAUUGCUUUUUUUAGUGAACAAGUUUUAUAUUUUAUUAGAUUAGUUAUGUAACAAUUUUGAAACUAAAUUCAGAAACAAUAGAAAAAAUGUUGUUGUGGAACACAAAACAUGAAUUAAUAUUAGAAGUAUAGCCAUUUAAAUCUUAAUAGACUAAUUCCUACUAUGUUAGUUUUAUUUGUCCAGAACUGAAGACAAAACUCAUCUGCUCUCAUGGAAGGUGAAGUACAGAAAGCCCACAGAUGUUAUAGAGAUCUAAAACAGUAGUACUUACACUCAGGUAGAAUCUAUGAUUCAGGUAUGAAUGUCUAUGGUAGAAAGAUUAAGGCUUUAGGACAAGGUAGUAGACAUUUGUGGCACUAUUAAUUUCAAAUAAGAGUCCCAAGAUAGAACAUUAGAGCUAUUCGCAAAUUUAAAUAACCAGAUUUAAGCUAAUCUGUGAUACAUGGACCAUUGUGACCAUAACUUUUGUGUUUUUUUUUUUUUUUUUGAUAGUUAUUGUAACCAUAACCUUUUUUUUUUCCUGAUAGACAUUGUGACCAUAACUUUUCAGGCCUUUAAAAAAGGAAGUGCAAGAGAAGGAUUUCUCAUCCUUCCCUACUUUACAAAACCUGAUUUAAAAAUGGAAGUGCAACUGUGCAAGAGAAGGAUGAGAAAUCCUUCCUUACUUUACAAAACCUGAUCAAAACAGAGGAAAAGAAAUACUCUCCAAUAAACAUCAAAACAACUCGACAUUGCAAUUUUAACACUUCGGAUCUACAAGUCGACAUCCAAUCAAGUUGAGUUAUGUUGAGAAAUUCAUGCCUUAAAACAGAUAGUUACAUUAAAGGCACAACCAUAAUCAUAAAUCCAUUUACUGAGAAGAAAACAAUGCUGAGAAAAGCAAUGGGAACUUCAACAUAAUCAAAGAAAGUGAAUGAUUGGGGUUUUUCUGAAGGAAUUUUAGCUGAUAGAUUCAAUUAUUUGUAACCUCUCGCACUCUUACAUAUGAAAGUACAUGUUCAAGUUUGUGUAUGGACACUUUAUGCAGAGAAUGGGUAGGUCCAUUAACCCUUUCAUCCCUCCAGAACCCCAGAAAAGGAACCUGUAAUGGCCAACGGCCUUUGUAUAGAGUGAUCCCUCUAAUACAGCUACAGAGAAUACUCUCAAAACCAUGCUUAUAGUAGUAGAUCACUAACUAUUGAUGUGCUUUCAACCAUUUCAAGAGCACUCAUCAGCCAUGCAGUCAGAAUUUCAACUGGAGUAAAGUUGGGCUCAAGAAAGUCUACUCAAAGCCGAAAAAAUCUCAAGGCCAGACAAGAGCCCAGGGACAGAUUUCAAUUUUAGGAAGCUAUUUCAUACGAGGAAAGGAAUCUCCAAGAGUUUAUUCCUUGAGAAAAAAGAAAUAUUAGCAAACGGAAUGAAGAAGCCAUUGAGAAGCAGGAGAUAUUCAGAUAAUGACUUAAAAUUUGGGUGGUAGAUGUAGUCUCAUUACUUUAAAAAUAUAUCUGCAGUGCUCCUAAUAGCACCAGAUAUUGAUAAGAGAAGGUGCGGAUGGAGUACUUGCAGCUGGUCCCAGUCAAAUCUUUAUAUGCUUUAACAAUAGUUGUUUGGUCACUUUUUCUAAGUAAGGCCAUUCAGGACAGAAUUCAUUCAAUGAUUUUUUUUUUUUUUUUUUUGGAAGAAAUAUGUCCAUACCCAGGUAUAUAGUACAAUAUAAAAGAACAAUCAUGAUAUUCUCUAAAUUUCAUUUCUCAAUUCAGCAGAUCAUUAAGUUAUAAAAACAAAUAACAUUACAAUAUUCAACAAGGAAAAAGAAUAUACUGUGUCACCAAAAGGACAUCAAUGGUUGAAGGAUCAAUCUCAUCAAAGUAUGGCAAAGCAGCCAUGACUGAGUAUGCGGGAUGAAUUCCACAGUCAAACUAUCAUCACAGAACAGGAACAUAAUAGAAACAAACAAAUUAAAAAAAAUAUCGAAAACAAAGUAUAAAAACUAGCAACCAAAAUAAACGAAUAAUGCAUUAUGGUAUACCAAUAUGGUUUUCCCUUUAUAGGACAUGUAGACACAGGAACGGCCCACUUCAUUUCCAGCACCUAGAGGGGUAAUAAUCAGCUGGUCUCCUCUUGUUAAUGAGGAAUCUGGUCUCUUCAAAGACUGCGAUGGCCCUGUAGAUGCCAUUCUUCAACUGAACAAUUCUCAGACCCCUUCAAUUAACACCACUCUAUUUUCAUGCAAAAUGCUCUGCAACCGAUUAAAAAAUACAAAAAAAAGAUUCAAAAAAAAAUAAAAAAACGCUUCAUCAUAAAUAAAAUGAUACCCAAAAAUAAAUACAAUUCCAACAAAAGACAUUUUUUCUCUGGGAACUCCAGUUAUUUUGGUGAAUAUAUUUCUGUUAAGCUUGGGAAAAAUAAAUUUUGACUUUCAGUAAAAUAACUCUGUACAGUUGAAAUUUAUAUUUCCCUGAGAACAUCUUCAAUAGAAAUAACCUAUCUCCCCAAUUGAAGCUCAAAAUUCAAAAUCCAGUACGAGAAAGCACUGUUUGUUUGCUGAGAAAUUGCAGAACCAAAAAUUUAAAUCUUACAGCUCUCAGCACUCAUCCCCCUAGAAAGCAACAUAAAAGCGCAAGAUUCAAUUGCUUCAUUUCCCUCUCUUCUCCUCACUUUUCUCAGCAACCAAACACAACAACCUUAUAUAAAUAAGGAGAGAGAGUGAAGUAGAAGAAAGAAGAAACUCGAAACUUAUAAAAAAAAAGCAUAGUAUGAAGGCAAUUAUAAGAGAUUCAAAAUUUUCAACUCACUUGGUUGCAUUCCCCAGGACUUUCUCGGGAACCAAACAGACGGGAGGAAGAAAAAACAUAAACUUCAGAACAAAGAAAGAAGAAAUGCAUAGAAAAUAGCAGAGGGAGAAAGUUUCGAGAGAGCUAGAGAGGUUACAGUUAUGAAAUGAUUUCAGACCAUGCAGAGGAAGAGAUUGAACUAAAACCCCAAUUUUGAGAAGAUGCUUCCCUCUUUGCCUCACCCUCUGAAAGAUUGAUAAAUACCGGGCUGGAAUGGUCGGUCCGGACAGUCUUCAAGGAGUUCUUGAAAAAGAAUCUGAAGUACAUCUAUGAACAAUCACAUAUGCAUUUGGGCAAUCUAUAGGUUCUCCAUCUGCUCUCAUCGCUGAACUACCACAUUCCUUCAGAUAAAUGGACCUGCCACCUCUGGUUUAUUAAAGACUAAAACAAUUUCCGUUGAACAGGUCUUUGCAUAAACCUUCUUUGGGGCAGGAGACUGAUGUGGAGUAUACUUAAGUCGUUUUCAGAUUAGUAUUUGAAUUGACCUUCUGAGGGGUGCCAAGUGCAAUUCACCAAAAUCCCAAACUGGAAUUAGUCCAUCUCCCAUUUCCUUUGAAAUACUCAACAAUUUAGUUUCUUUUUCUAUCAAGUUUGCCUUCAACUUUUCAAUAUCAGCCUACAUUUUCUCUAGUUUCGUCUGUGGUUCAGCUUGUAUUGGACUGGGUCUAGAUUUUGCGUGUUCUACAUGCUCAUAAGUGCUUCCAAACUACACCAUGUCCUGAACAUAUUCUUUCUGAUACCUGACCUUGGCAUCAAGAGCAGAUUUUAAAUGUCCCAUCUUUAAGACCAGAUUACUACUUAUGAAGUAGUCUAGGCUCUCCUUCAAACGGCUGAGACAGUGAGCAUUGUAACCACUGCCAAAUACUUUGUUAGUUGCUGAAAGAAAGCUUGGGUUCCUAUCUGAAAUUAGAACCACAUGACAAUUCAUCAGUAAAUACUUCAGAUGCUCUAGGAACCACAACCAGUUUUCUUCAUUAUCAGUAUUAACCACCCCAUAAACUAGAGGAUAUUAGUCAUCAUCUACAUCUAAGGCAGAUGCAGACAACAAAGUGUCUUUAUGUGGCCCACUCAAGUGAUAGGCGUCAACAAACAGCAACUCCCUGGAAUUGACUUCAUAAGUCGCUUGCACAUCCAUGGAAUUAGCUUGUAAGAGUCCUCUGGCUUUCCAAAAUUCGCUGUGCUGGAGAAAGUCCAAUAGUGAGGGCUGCUGCUGAGCGAAUGCAAUAGUUCCUUUACAUGCAGUUGAGCCACCAGCCUGUUAAUUUCUCAGCUCAUGGCGUAGGUGAACAUUAAGCUGCUGAAGAUAGACUGGCUCUCUACAUCAGAUCACAUUGAUUUGUUUGGAGUUGCCCAAUUUCUUUGGCAAAUCUUCAUUUUCGUGUCUCGAAUUGUGGUUCAGUUUCCUUACUUCUUCUACCUCUGGACAUUCCAAAACAAAACUUGCAAAGGCUUGAAUGGCUUCUAAACUUUCUGCCAAUUCAGAAUUUUCCAACUGCAGGUUCACAUUAGAGUUCUUCUAACUCCUCUGCUUCAGCAGCCUCAAAGCAUUCCUUUUUAGCAGCUUCACGCUCUUCUGUUGCAAAUCCUCUUUGAUCACUCUCAAUAAUUACCAAUAAUUUUUGCUUGGGUUGAAGAACAAACCUUCUUGGUGUAUACCUUAAAGGAAUCGCAGAUUCAUUAAAUGUUUCACCCAGUCAUUCAAUAGUGAAGACUAUGCAACCAUGAAGGAAAGUGAGUCAAUGCAUGAACUAAUGGGUCGGGCCUUGUGGUGCCUAAAGUGGGCCUAGGUGGGCCAAAGUAAACCUAAGUGAGCUUAGAAAAGUGCUCUAGUGACCUAGAGUGAACUAAGUGGAAUUUAACUUAAAGUGCACCCAAAGUAAAGCCUAACCUAAACUCAAAGGAUGACUAAUGUCACAAUGAGAAGCCAGAUAAACCCUCAACCAAAGUCUCUAAGGUGGCUCAGAGAAGGCAAAUUGCAUAGUAGUAAUUAGCUACAAAUGAACCAUUGUAAAAUACUAAACGAGCCCUCAAUAGAACAUGUGUUAAGGGGACAAAAUGGAGGGUCUACAGUAAUAGAACAAAAAUUCUAAAAUCUUCAAAUCUCAACUUUUAAACCAACAUAUCAACCAUAAUAUUUUUGUCUGAGCAAUUUCAAACUAAAACAAUAGCUAACAAUAAUUAAAUUCUAAUAUUUAACAAAAUCCCAAAAAGAGAGUUUAAACAAAUAUCCUAAUAAAGCCAAAAUUUUCAUUUCUCACCCGAACUUAGGGUACUUGAAAAAUUAACAACAAAGGGGGAUGAACUCAAAACUCAAUAAAAAACAUUAAUAUAGUUUCAUAGAUCAAAUAUUUUCAUUCAUGCUUCCAAAUAGGAGAUAUAGGGUAUAAUCAUUUUCAUAAAACGUUUGAGUUCAAACAUGCUAAUACAUUUUAAACAGUUCAACCAAACAUUUUCAUAUAUAUCAAAACCAUUUCAUAUCAAAUCCAAAUCAAAUACAUUUCAAUUAUUUUUAUUCUAGUUACCAAACAAUAAAUGGCGCUUAGUUAAGUGAAACUUUACAAAUGGGUAGUUAGCCUCAAAUUUGUUCCUUUUAAGGUGGACAGAAUCAAAAGUAACCUCUAAUCAAAGCCCUCAAGGUUGGGGUCUAAAUCAAUUAUAUUUUUCACCACAAAAAUGAAAAGGUCAACUAUUAUAUUUCGUUGACAAGGGCCGAAAAGUCAAUUAUUAUACUCCAUUGAUAAGGACCAAAAAAAUUAAAAUCAAAUUCUUUGUUUUAUUUAUUCAAACUUACGGAAACAUAAGACCUCCAUAUAUUCUAUUAUAAACAAAAGAAAUGUUAUAAUAUAUUUUUCAUGCAAAAAUAUAUUUGAUCCAUACAUAAAAGCAAAAAUAACAUUUACAUAUAUAUAUAUAUAUAAUUAUCUUCUUUUGCAAAGUUUGUAUUAAUUUCUCUUAGCUCAAAAGAGUCCUAAAAAACCUUGGAGAGAAAUAAUUAUGGAAAAUCUAUUCUUCACUUAACAUAACAUAAUAGAAAUAAAUAUUACUAUUUAUCUACAAUUUAAUUAAUCUAUUCCGUAUUUAAAUAAAAUUAAUAAAUUUCUAAUUUGAUUCUAAUAACACAUUACUAAUUUAAUUAAAUUGCAAUUUUAUUUCAUUAUAUAUAUAUAUAUAUAUAUAUAUUUUACUAAAUCUCUCAUUCUAUUUAUUACAUUAAACCAUUAUUACUAUUAUCUUAUUUAUUAACCUAGACCUAAAUAUUAUUAUUUUAUUAAUUAUCAAAUUCAAUAGCCACCCAAACCAUUACCCACUUGUCUCCGGGACACACAAAACCAAUAAAACAAAGCAAGUUCUUUCAAUUGUCAUCAUCAUUAUUAUGAUGAUUCAUUAUUUAUUUAUUUAUUCUUGGUUUUCCAAGUUCUUCCUUCCAUCCAAUGCACAUGCCUCUUUUUUAUUCUUUAUUUCUUUCUUAACCCUAACACGUCUUUUUUUUUUUUUUUACUUCUAGGAAUGUGCACACAAAUACAAUGCCUCAAAACCAUAAAUACAAGUAUCUAUAUAUCACCCCUCCAAAAUCCAGAAAUCAUGUAAUUCUUCUUAUUAUUUAUUUAUUUAUUUUCUUUUCAAUCUAAAGUCUCCACUAACGACUUAUUUAUUUAUUAUCUAAAUCUAAAAUUUCUUUUCUUCCUCUGUUUUUUUUCAUUUUAAAUUUAUUUAUUUAUUUUUCUAUUCCAUUGAAAUUUUUGAAAUUUUCCUAUCUUCAUCAAUAAAUCAACCUAUACUUGCAAUUUUUCAAACAUUUUGAUCUAAAAGUUUAAUAAACAAACCCUAAUCUAGAUUUAGAUUUUCCAAAAAAAUAUCUAAUAUGUUUUAAAGUAACUAACGAAUCUAAAAUAUUAAUCUAGGGGUUAGAAUCUUAUCGGAAAAGUAUGGACUUCAAACCUUAAACCUUCAAACCUUCACCCCUAUGUUCACCAAUUCUCUAAUUUUGGUUAAUAAGGUUUUUGGAAUAGAGAAGACAAGAAAAAAAAAAUCUAAUUCAUACCUAGGACUAUUAAUGGAAAAAAUGACAUUUUUCCCCUAAUGAAUUUAAUUAAUUUUUAAUUUACUAUUUUACCCUUAAAAUUAAUUUGGGGUGUUAUAGUAUCAAUGGAUGAAAAAAAAAAAUCAAAAGGCUUAGGUCAUAAAUUUUAUUUCAAAAUCAUUUAAGAAUUAAUUAAUUAAAACUCAAUUUUUAAGUUUUUAAAUUUUAAAUUCCUCCCUUAUUCAUUAUUGGAUUGAAUUCUUUUAACUAUUUUUCCCUCUUUUAACUUUAUUAUUUCUUUCAUAAUUUUUAUCAUUAGAACAUAUAAGCUUUCUUGUUUCUCUUAAGAUUUUGUAAAUCAUUUAUGUGAAAUUUUAAAACCAAAUUAGCUAUCAAUAUUUCUUCUACUUUUUUCUCAAUCAAAUGCAUGGUUUGUUGUUGAUACUUAUCUUGGUUCAUCUAUAAGUGAGACCAUACUUUUUUUUCCAUUUGGAAGUCCUAAGGAAUCGACAUGUAGCCUAUAACAAGGACUACCAAAUUAAUCAUUUAUAGUUUACAAUAAAAUAGAAUGCAUAUUAAAGGGGCUCUAGACUCGCAACUGUGAAUAUAUUGUUUGUUCUAGGUCCAACAGGUUUUCAAAAUUUCAAAAUAUGUUUACAAGGCUAAGAGGAGUCCAUACAAAUAUAAUAUAUAUGUAAAAUUGCAAGGUUAAACGUUUUUAGAGAAACACUUCAAUUAAAAGCAUUUCCAAUAAAAACACUUUCAAUCGAUCAUUAAUUAUCUUUAGUUAAUUAUCAUCAAUUCCUAAAUAUAUAUUUAUUCUCCUUAUCGGGGAUUUUACUAAAAUGCUUUUUUUUUUUUUUUAUCAAACUAAACUAUGCAAGUGUAGGAAGUAGUUCUGUUUAAUAUGCUCAUAUGCUCUUUAGAUCAUGUUCUCCUUGAGUUGCUUGUUUCUUCUUAACAAAAAAAAUACAGUUUGUCACCCAUUUUGAAGGGAGAUAAUAACGAAAAACUCAUAGUUAAAAAAAAAAAAAAAAAAAAGUGAUUUCAACAGUUUUGGGAAUUAUCACUCUCAACAAUCUAUUAAAAAAUUGUAAAGAUUACAUGUUGGCUCUCCCCAGCCCCAAGGACGCUUACUGUCACAAGAAACCCAUAUCCUAUCUUCCACCCCAAGCCUGCUUCUGCCACUCAAAGUCCAAUCACAAUAUUCAGAGCUCCCAAGAUGAGAGCAAGUCUCCCUACCAAGUGAUGUUACUAGUUCCAGUACUUGCGCUGUUUGGAUGUCUUGUCCGGCCUUAGAAUCAAUGCCAUUACCCAAGAAGAAGAAAACUUAGUUUUCAGCAUGCUUGAAGAAAUAUAUUUAGUUAAUGUCGAGUGAACGCCCAGGGAGAGUGAAAACAAACCUGAAGAAUGCCAAGGAAAAACACCAAGGAUCCGAGGGGUCUGUGAAUCUUGAAUUUGGGAAUGCGAUAAGACUCCAGUCCAUUGUAGAGUGUCCUUCCUGCGACGACAGUAGCAAGACCCGGAAGAAAACCCACAAUCUGGAUCGAGAUAUGAAGAUAAAACCAUUGAGGAUCAUGAUGCUUGAAGUAUCUAGGGAUGAUUGCCCCAGAUGGAAGGAGCACGUCCCAUGCAAUUAGGCCCAUGUCUCCAUGACGCGUCUCCAAAUCUCCAGUGUUAUUGACACCAGAGUUAUAUCCUGUGAGACACACAACAGAAAUUUUCCAUAUCAGACUUCAAAGAGUUUUAUCUGAAGCUCCCACUUUAUUUCCUAGAUAUAAGCCCCUCACGUCUAGAAUGUAAAAUCCUCUGUUCUCUGUUCAAAUUUCAGCUUUGCAAUUGGAGUCAAUACAUCUCGUAUUCAAUUCAAUCCUCAUCUUUUUAUGGCCUCCUAAAUUCUAUGACCCAGUUUUGUGAAAAACUACAUCAUGGGGACCCAAGAGGAUGGGAUUUGAUUCAAUGUUAGGUACAAAAUUUUGGAAAAAUCUGCAAAACCCUCAACAGUUGUGACCACAGCUCAAGACCAAGGUGGGAAUUUACAAUCUAAUAAUGCUGAUGAAUGCUUCAUAGACUGCUCUACGAAACUAGAGUUUGUUAGAAUGCCUGUCCUUUGUUGAAAGACAUGAAGAUCCUCACAUUCUCGAGCAGGAAGAACCUUGGCCGAAAGUAGUCGGCAAAGGAUAAGAAGGCUGGGAUCAUUUCACACUGAACUUUACUCCAACUACUCUGGUUAAACGUAUUCAUCCUAGAGAAAACCUGUGAAGAUAUUAACCAUGACAUAGACUUAAAUGUGAUACAUCCAACAUUCCCAUUAGUUGGUGUUGACAUCCAACUACCUCUUUGUCUACAACGAAUGGAAUUGAAAAGGAUUAUAUAAAGAAUUUGAUAAAUGUGUGAACUUCAUAUUUUCAUUAAAAUCAAAUCGUAUAAAUAAUACAUUGAAGCAAAACAGAAAGCAAUAACUAUAUCCUAUAUUUCAGCAAUAUUCAAGCUGACCUAUUCUUAAAGAAUACUAACAGAAAAAUAUUUGGAGGACUACAUUCAUCCCAGAGAAACCCUGUGAAGAUGGCAGCCUUGUUUUAGCUCUUUGAAUAGAGUGAAAUAACAUAGCAGAAGCUGAUCAAACCUGGCAUGGAGGGCCCCCCAUUAAUAAAAUCAACUUGUCCAAGCAUCCGGUGAUGCAGAUUGUUUGGCAGCCUCAGAAGUAGAGACACGGUCAUCGGCAUUCCCGCACUCCUCCACGACAGCCCUGCAUCACAACCAAUUUACGGGUCUAUUACAAAUGAGAGAGAGAAAAAGAGAUUUUCAUGUUAAUGAAAUCAUUCACCUUAGGAUCGAACUGAAACGAUAAACAUCAAUGAUUCCGGAUGAUUGAAUUUGAGUGCAUCCCCAGCAGGCUCUUCAUAUUCAGUAGCCUACUUGGUUACUGAUACACCUGCAAAGUUGAAAGCAACAGGAGGUAAAAUCAUCACAUUCUUUAAUAAAAAUGUCAUCACAUACGACUCUUUAGCUGAUAUAGAUACAAAUGAAGUACCUGCUUGAGGGGCCCUUCAAAGGAAAAUAUAUUCCAAAGGUUGCAAGGACAUCACAUGGUGGCAGAUCAUGCUUCUGAAUAACCUGCACAUUCCACCCUUCAAAUAUAUUAGAAAAAUAAUAUAAUUGUAGUUUUAUAUUAUAAUAGAAGUUCAAAAAAACAAGAGAAAUUAUGCACGAUUGCUUGCGCCCACCUCAUGGAUGUCAUAACAGUAUGCCUUCUUGCUUUUACAUUUUUCAGUAAUAAUUGAUCGAUAACGAAUUUACAUGGAGAAGUGAGAACCCUCAGCUAGUUUCAUCCCCAUGACCAUGACCCAGCAGCUCACCCAACGUAAUCACAGAAAACGGUUUUGGCAAUGGUGGCCACUGUUUUGAGAGUGCUCGAGCAACUUGUUGCAUAGUUGGCCGAGAUUGGGGAUUAACGCACAAACAUGCAAAUGCCAACUUCACUGCAACCACUACUUCCUCUGCCACUUGAUUCACAGGAGGUGAGGGGCGCUGGUCUAUCACAUCAUUCAGCAGGAAAUGGCCGACCGUUGAUGGUGAUGCAGAUGAGGAGGACGCUGAUGAUAACAGGGAUGAGAUAAGCUCUCCGGGAUGCCUUCCCAUAAUUACUUCUAAUGUCACAACACCGAAGCUGUAAACAUCGGUUUUAUUAUCCACCUUCAUUGUGUAAGCAAGUUCUGCAAAAGAAGAUUAGAUCAUGCUCUGCUCUGCUAAGCAAUUAGAAACGUUACAUAUGACGUAUAGAGGCCAUUUAGAGAUAAGCAAGGCACUAAGAAAAAUGUACCUGGAGCUGUAUAACCAAAAGUUCCUGCAAAUGAAGUCCAAUUAGAUGAGUCUGACUUUAAAAGCCUAGCCGUGCCGAAGUCAGAUACAUGAGCUUCAUAUUCUGAAUCUAACAAAACAUUGUUGCUCGAUAUGUCUCGAUGAAUUACAGGAGGUGAGCAAUCAUGGUGCAUAUACGAUAAAGCUUUAGCCACGCCUUUAAUAACGUUUAGCCUCACAAUCCAAUCUAAUCUUUCUGCUUCUUCGUCAUUGCAUAGAAUGUUUUGCAAACUCCCCUUUUCCAUAAACUCAUAAACCAAAAAUGAGUUCUCUGCAAAUGAACUGAAGCCAUAAAGCUUGACGAUGUUGCGGUGCCUUAUCUGUGUUAAAGCAUGAAUCUCGCUUUUGAAAGCUUUCAAAUCAGCCAUAUCUCCAUCUUCUGAUGAGUGAAGCUUUUUCACAGCAACAACCCGACCUGUUGGCAACUCAGCCUUGUAAACAGUACCAUAUCCUCCAGUGCCAAUACACUGUUUCGAACUGAAAUUGUCGGUCCCCUGUAUGAUGUGCUCAUACAACAAUUCCCCAUCAUGGCCCCAUAUUGCAAAUAGAUCUUCGACAUCUGCUUCUGGAGACUUGUUUUUUCUCUUCCUCAAUUUUUGGAAAAGAAAAAAAAUGCCAAUAACAAAAGCAAGUAAGAACAAUAGACUGCUCACAAGUAGGAGUAUUACUAUCAAAACAGAAAACUUGUUGGCCUUCUUUCGACUAGCACUGCAUGGCUUGAGAUGAGUGACAUUAUUACCACACAGACCUUUAUUAUUUUUGAAUGCCUCAAAUGGAGCGAAGGCUUUGAUGUUGGGGAGAGGACCUUCCAACUGAUUGUAGGAUAUAUCAACAACUGUCAGGCUUAUCAGAUCAUCAAACGUGUGUGGGAUGGUGCCAGAGAGCCCGUUAUGGGAGAGAUUCAACGUUUCCAGGUACUGUAAUUCUCCAAGUAGCGGUGGUAUCUCUCCUAUUAGCAUAUUUUGACUAAGAUCGAGACUUUCAAGAUGAUGCAACUUUCCAAUUUCAUCGGGAAUGCUAUCCACAAAUCUAUUCUCGCUCAAGUUGAAGGACCUUAAUUUCCAGAAGUUUCCCAGUUGUUUGGGAAUUGAACCGCUUAUGUUGUUUGAUGCCAAGUCAAGAAUUUCAAGAUUGGAUAAGUUUCCCAAUUCCAAAGGAAUACUACCUGAAAGACUGUUGUUUCCUAAUAACAAUUUGAACAAUAAUGGCAACAUACCCAACUCUUUCAGGAUCUUCCCACUUAGAUGAUUGGCGGAGAGAUCAAGCUGUCGCAGCUGAGUUGCUUUCCCAAGUUGAGGCGGUAUAGCACCAGAAAUAUUGUUGUUGGAGAUGUUCAGGUUUGUGAGCAUGUGGCACUGCCCCCAUUUCUCAGAAAGCUCACCAUAAAAAUUGUUGCUGCUUAGAUCAAUAUAAUUUAGAGUUGGGUACACACCAAAACUUUCGGCUAUGUCCCCUGUCAAUUGAUUUCUUUCAAGCCUAACUCUGAAUAAGCUAGUGCAAUUUUUCAAGCCUUUUGGAAUAGGACCAGUGAAAUGAUUUCCAGAGGCUGUAAAGUUUUCAAGAACACUACCAAGGCAUAUCUCUUGUGGUAGUUGGCCAAUGAAGUUAUUCUCAACUAACUGUAAAGAUUUCAAAUGAGUGAUAUUAUUCAUUUCAAGAGGAAUCGCACCACUAAGCUUGUUGUGAUCAAGGAACAAAAAGGUUAAGCUGGACAAGUUUCCUAUGGAUGGAGGGAUUGGACCACUGAGACUAUUAGCUGCCAAGUCAAGAUCAUAAAGUGAUGUCAACAAUCCAAUUUCUUGAGGGAUGGAACCAGAAAGCUUGUUCUCAAAAAGAUAUAAAGUGGUUAAAUUUCUCAAGUUUCCAAUGGAUGGAGGGAUCGAACCAGUGAGACUAUUAGUUUCCAACUCAAGAUCUAUAAGUGAUGUCAACAAUCCAAUUUCUUGAGGAAUAGAACCAGAUAGUUUGUUUGUAUGAAGGUACAAAGUCGUUAAGUUCCUCAAGUUACCUAUCGAAGGAGGGAUUGGACCGAUGAGAUUGUUAAAUGACAAUUGAAGAUCAUUAAGAGAUCUUAACAAUCCAAUUUCUUGAGGGAUGAAACCAGAAAGCUCGUUCUCAAAAAGAUAUAAAGUGGUUAAAUUUCUCAAGUUUCCAAUGGAUGGAGGGAUCGGACCAGUGAGACUAUUAGUUGCCAACUCAAGAUCAUUAAGUGAUGUCAACAAUCCAAUUUCUUGAGGAAUAGAAUCGGAUAGUUUGUUUGUAUGAAGGUAUAAAGUGGUUAAGUUCCUCAAGUUACCUAUGGAAGGAGGGAUUGGACCAGUGAGAUUGUUAGUUGACAAUUGAAGAUCAUUAAGAGAUUUUAACAAUCCAAUUUCUUGGGGGAUGGAACCAGAAAGCUUAUUCUUGAAAAGAUGCAAAGUGGUUAAGUUCCUUAGGUUUCCUAUGGAAGGAGGGAUUGGACCAGUGAGAUUGUUAGUUGACAAUUCAAGAUCAUUAAGAGAUCUUAACAAUCCAAUUUCUUGAGGGAUGAAACCAGAAAGCUCGUUCUCAAAAAGAUAUAGAGUGGUUAAGUUUCUCAAGUUUCCUAUGGAUGGAGGGAUUGAACCAGUGAGACUAUUAGUUGCCAACUCAAGAUCAUUAAGUGAUGUCAACAAUCCAAUUUCUUGAGGAAUAGAACCAGAUAGUUUGUUAGUAUGAAGGUAUAAAGUGGUUAAGUUCCUCAAGUUACCUAUGGAAUGAGGGAUUGGACCAAUGAGAUUGUUAGUUGACAAUUGAAGAUCAUUAAGAGAUCUUAACAAUCCAAUUUCUUGGGGAAUGAAACCAGAAAGCUUGUUCUUGAAAAGAUGCAAAGUGGUUAAGUUCCUCAAGUUUCCUAUGGAAUGAGGGAUUGGACCUGUGAGAUUGUUAGUUGACAAUUGAAGAUCAUUAAGAGAUCUUAACAAUCCAAUUUCUUGAGGAAUGGAACCAGAAAGCUUGUUCUCAAAAAGAUACAAAGUGGUUAAGUUCCUCAGGUUUCCUAUGGAAGGAGGAAUUGGACCAAUGAGAUUGCUAGUUGACAAUUGAAGAUCAUUAAGAGAUCUUAACAAUCCAAUUUCUUGAGGAAUGGAACCAGAAAGCUUGUUCUCAAAAAAAUGCAAAGUGGUUAAGUUCCUCAAGUUUCCUAUGGAAUGAGGGAUUGGACCAAUAAGAUUGUUAGUUGACAAUUGAAGAUCAUUAAGAGAUCUUAACAAUCCAAUUUCUUGAGGGAUGGAACCAGAAAGCUCAUUCUCAAAAACAUACAAAGUAGUUAAGUUUCUUAAAUUACCUAUGGAAGGAGGAAUUGGGCCUCUAAAAUUAUUAGAAGACAAUGCUAGAACACUAAGAGAUGUUAGAAAUCCAAGUUGGGGAGAUAUUACACCAGUGAAAUGAUUGAAAGCAAAGUUAAGAUUUGUGAUUCGUUUGGAAAGAUUACCAAUGUUGAUUGGAAUGGUUCCAUAAAGGGAGUUGUUAUAAAGAUUAAGAGUGAGAAGGUUAGGGAGUGAUGAGAAAUUGAGAUUGUGGAGUGUACCUCUCAAACCGCAAUUGUCAAGUUCUAAAUUGGAGACACUUCCUGACUUGUGACAAGUUAAUCCAAACCAAUGAUAGCAAGAAUUGCGUCCAGACCAAGAAGAGAGGAAAGAUUGGGUUUGAUUAUCAAGACUGGCUUUCCAUGUUAGAAGAGCGAGUCUUUCUUGAUCUUUUUCAACUUUUGAAAGAGAAGUGGUAGGUGUAGAGGCAGAUAUAGAAGUGACAUGGAAUGAUGAUAUUGAGUAUAGAAGGACAAGGAGAAAUAUGAAGUAGUAAGGAGUGAUAAAGAGUCGAGAGAGUAAGGAGUAGGAUGAAGAAUAUUCAAAGGCCAUUGUUGAAUUGGUAGAAAUGAAGUUAUUAAGAGGUUUACAUGGAGGGAAGGAUGAAGAUGAAACACUUAUUUAUAGACUUAAAUGUGAUACAUCCAACAUUUCCAUUAGUUGGUGUUGACAUCUAACCACCUCUUUCAUCUACAAAUAAUGGAAUUAAAAAGGAUUAUAUACAUGAGCUCAAUUCCACACAUAUUUUAUUUCAUUUUAUCGAAAUGCUCUGAAUUUUUCAAUUAAAAUUUACACCUACAAUUACAUAUGAAAUAAUUAAAAAUAUUUCUUUUCCACUCUAUGCACUUUUAAAUAUAACUUGUUUAAAAUUAAUAAUUACAAUUCAUUUUAAGAAGUAAGGACCAAAUAUGCCCACGUCAACAACCUAGUUGAUACAGGAAGUUCACUUUAACCAACAUUACUCCUUGUUUGGAUUGAAUUCUUUUAACUAUUUUGCCCUGAGAGAAAUAAACUUUUUUAACUCUAUUAGUUCUUUCAUAAUUUUUAUCCUUACAAUAUGAACUAUCUUAUUUCUCUUAAUAUUUUAUAAAUCAUUUAUGUUAUAUUUCAAAACCAAAUUAGUUGUCAUUUCUUGUACUUCUUUCCUAGACAAAUGCAUAAUUUGUGGUUGAUGUUUAUCAUUUUUAUUAAAGGUGUUCACAAUUUGUAAGUGAGACCCAUCAUCUAUGAAAAAUAUAGACAUGCUUUUUUUUCAUUUGGAAGUCUUAAGGAACUAGUAUUUGAACCACAACAAGGACUAAGGACUAACAAAUUUUCACUUUGUUUUUCAUCCAAAUAAGACACACAAUUGUUUUUGUAUUAUCUAUUCUAAGCCAAGGGGCUUUCAAGGCUUUAAAAUGCAUCUCUAAAGUUAAGAGGAGCCCAACAUAUAUAUCAUCAUGAGCUUUUUUCCCUAUUCAACGUGAGAUGUCACAAAAAUUGUUCAACAAGAUUAAUGCAUUUGUGAAGCUCAGAAGAAUCACAAAAAUCAAAGGAAAAUAUUUUGGGAAUUACAACAUAAAACAUGCAGGACCCAUGUACACAUGCAUUUUCCUUAUCAAACAGUUGUCUUGAAAAGCCAUUCUAAAGCCCACUUGGCUUCCCAUCACUAGUAAUGGACCAACAUCAUUCAAAUUCUCAAUGCUCUUGAAAGGCCAUAUGCACUUGAAGUAAAAAGAGAUUGAAUUUUUGUUAGAUAGUUUGUUUUUGCUAUUUGGGAACAUAUUUUUCUUUUCUUUUUUUUGUUCUUUUUUCUUUUUAAUAGAACGUUUACAUGGUAGCCUGCUCCAAUCCCCUUACGAAACUUUUGUUAUUAGGUUAGCCAUACACUUCACAUGUUUGUUUCUAGCGAUUCACAUGGUAUAAUCAAAUGAUACAAGUCUUGGAUAAGAAUCUACAAUGCACUAGAACACCCUUGUUGAUGAUCCUUUACUCCGAUAGUGUCUAGAGUUCCUCGAACAAUAUGAUAUCUCACAUUGGGUAAAUCCUUAACCCUUCCCCCUCUUACUAAGACUACAAAAUGUUCUUGUGAAUUAUGGCCAAUACCAGGUAUAUAAGUAGUGAUUUCAAAUCCAGAGGUUAAUCGUACUCUGGCAACUUUACGUAAGGCAGAGUUUGAUUUUUUUGGGGGUGAUAGUAGAAAAGUUGACAGAUAAGUCACCCUUACUAGAGUGUAAAAUCCUUUAUUUUUUGUUCAAAUUUUAGCUUUGCAAUUAGAGUCAAUACAUCUCGUAUUCAAUUCAAUCCUCAUAUUUUCUGGACUCCUAAAUUCUAAACCCUAUCUGGGUUUUCCAGUUUUGUGAAAAAUCACAUCAUAUGGACCUGACAGGAUGGGAUUUGAUUCAAUGUUAGAGACAAAAUUUUGGAAAAAUCUGCAAAACCCUCAACAGUUGUGGCCAUACCAUAGCUCAAGACCAAGAUGAGAAUUUACAAUCUAAUAAUGCUGAUGAAUGCUUCAUAGACUGCUCUACAAAACUAGAGUUUGUCAGAAGGCCUGUCCUUUGUUGAAAGACGUGAAGGUCGCAGGAAGAACCUAGGCCGAAAGUAAUCAGCAAAGGAUAAGAACACCAGGAUUAUUUCACAUUGAAACACUUUACUCCAACUACUCUGGUUAAACGAAUUCAUCCUAGAGUAAGCAUGUGAAGAUAGCAACCUUGUUAUAGACUUAAAUGUGAUACAUCCAACAUUCCCAUUAGUCGGUGUUGACAUCCAACUACAUCUUUGUCUACAACUAAUGGAAUUGAAAAAUUAUAUAGCUCAAUCCUGCACUUAUUUUAUUUUAUUUUAUCAAAGUGCUCUUGGAAUUGAAAAGGAUUAUAUAGCUCUUAAGUUUUAUUAACAUGAGUGCAAAUUAAUUUUAAUUUUGAAAAAGUUUUACUAAUUGGUGGAAAAUUCUUCCUCGAAUUAUAUGUGGAUAUGAAUUACUUGGAUAAAAUUUGGAGCUUUGUUGAUAUCAUGUUAGUGACUUAUUUUGUUGAGAUAUAUAGUUAUAAGACAAAUCUCAGCCAACUUUCUUUUUUUCUUAGAAAGACAAAGCUCAUUGCAAUGAAUAAUGGGAUCCAGAGAUGUAUAAAAGUGUGCAUUUUUACUUAAAAAAAAUGUGUUCCAUGACUAGCAUGUAUUUCAAAUUUAAGCUCAAACAAAAAGACCACUCAAUCCACUAAGAGCUCUUUAGAGAUGAAAACAACAUAAUAAUUGAAAACAAAAAUAAACUCAUUGAUAUGAAAAUAAAAAAUAUAUUUAUUUUGUUAUAAAAACUAUGAUAUCACAGAUUAAUUUGAAUGUGAAGUGAACUGGACUAUUGACUCUUUAAUUAAUAAAUCAAUUAAUUUUUAUAGUACUUUUUUUAUUAAAACAAUUCCUUAAUUGUGAAGUAAAUUUUACUUAUCUAUUCAUAUGUAUUUGAUAAAAUUAACCUUAAUGGGAUAGAAACAUCAUGCAAUUCAUUUUGUUUUUAUCAACAAUUCUUAUAAAGAGAUCACUUAAGGGAGAGAACUCACAUCAUCAAUGCUGAGUAGUUAUCACAAAGUGAUUAAAAUUUUUUUCCUAAAAAAAAAAUAUAUUUUUAUGAAAAUUGCUUUUAUUUAAAAUCAAUCAUAAUAUAAAUCAUGUUUUUAUUUUUUUUAUUAAGUUAAUAAGAUUUAAAAUUAAAAUAAAUUUUACAAAAUCAGUAAAUGUUUAUAUAUAUAAAAAAAUCAAAUGGCUCCACUCAUCCAUUAUUCAUGAUUGAUUGAACAAUGUAAAGAUGACAGUAUCUUCUAUGUAUAAUUUAAACACUCUCACCCUAGACUUUUAUACAUGAAUAGCUAUUAGAAAAUACAAAAUUUAAUGCAAAAAUUGGACUGAGGGAGUAACAUAACCUCAUCAAUGCUUGUAGUUGAUACAUAAAUAGAUUGAAGAGGAUACAACUACCAUCACAAAUAAUAAAUGAAAAAUAAUUAAUAUAACCAUAAUUUAGUUUUUCUUUUGUUUAAAUAAUCAACUAUUCUAGUUGGGGAAUGGAUCAUAUAUGGGGUCCAUGAAUUAAAUUAUUGUACAAAAUGUCUUACAAGAAAAAUGUUACUUAGCUUACGAUUUAUACAUUUGCUUUCAAUUAACUAAUGGUUCUAAUAUAUAAGUGUUCAUUUGGAUAAAGUUCUUAUUUUCCAGUUUUAAAAAUAAAAAAUAGUAAUAACUUCUAUUGAAAAUAUAAAAAAUCAUCUAACUCUUAAGACACAACUACCAUCACAAAUAAUAGACAAAAAUAAUUAAUAUAACCAUUGUGAGGUUGUUCUUUUGUUCAAAUAAUCAACUAUUUUAGUUGGGGAAUGGACCACACAUAUGGGGUCCAUGAAUUAAAUUAUUGUACAAAAUGUCUCCAAGAAAAAUGUUAUUUAGAUUAUUAUUUAAACAUUUGCUUUCAAUUAAUUAAUUGUAUUAAUAAUUGAGUGUCCAUUUGGAUGGAGUUCUUAUUUUCUAGUUUUAAAAAUAAAAAAUAGUAAUAACUUCUAUACAAAACAUAAAAAGUCUUCGAGUCUUAACACACAACUACCAUCACAAAUAAUAGACGAAAAACAAUUAAUAUAGUCAUUAUGAGGUUGUUCAUUUGUUCAAGCAAUCCACUAUUCUAGUUGGGGAAUGGACCACAUAUGUGGUCCAUGAAUUAAAUUAUUGUACAAAAUGUCUCACAAGAGAAAGGUUAUUUAGCUCACUAUUUAUAUAUUUGCUUUCAAUUAAUUAAUUUUUACUAAUAAUUAAGUGUCCAUUUGGAUGGAGUUUUUAUUUUUCUAGUUUUAAAAAUAAAAAACAGUUACAACUGCUAUAUAAAAGACAAAAAGUCUUCUAGUUUUAAGACACAACUACCAUCACAAAUAAUAGAUGAAAAACAAUCAAUAUAACCAUAAUGAGGUUGUUCUUUUGUUCAAAUAAUCAACUAUUCUAGUUGGGGAAUGGACCAUACAUGGGGUCCAUGAAUUAAAUUACUGUAUAAAACAUCUCACAAUAAAAAUGUCAUUUAGCUUACUAUUUAUACAUUUCCUUUCAAUUAAUUAAUUAUACUAAUAAUUAAGUGUCCUUUUGGAUGGAGUUAUUUUCUAGUUUUAAAAAUAAAAAUAGCAAUAACUUCUACAUGAAAUAUGAAAAGUCUUUGAGUCUUAUAUCCAAAAUGUAGUGCCUUUUAAACUUGAUUUGAAAAAAAAAAUAUUAAAAAAAAUUACUAUUUGGAAUUUUAAAUUUUUUGAAAAAUAUUUUUCAAAAUGUAAGGUAAGUCUAUAUUUUUUGUAUAUGAAUAUAUGUUUUUUAGAUAAAGUUUUCUUUUGUAAAAGAUAAAAAAUAGAAAAUAUAUCUAAAUGGAACAUAAAUGCUUACAUAAAAAUUAUCAAACAAUGAAAUGUUACUUAAAUCUGUAGUUAAAAAAUUAUAAUAGAGAACUCGUAAGCAAAAAAGUAUAUAUACUUAGUAAAGAGAAUUAAGACUAAUUAAUUGCAAAGAAAUUGUGACACAUUCAUGGGUAAAUCCAACACAUGUUUAGUGCAUGGCCCAAGUUUGUUAAAAUACUAUCAAAUAAUAAAGUUAUUAUGAACUCAAGAACUUCGGAUUACCAAAACCAACCUAAAUAAUUGGUCAUGCAUGACCUAUUUUAAAGUCUUUGCCAAUCCUGAAGUUAACUUGAAAAUUGUGUAAACAUGUUUCUUAGAAAUACACAUUUCAAACUCUCUCAAUCUUUCUUUACCAAAAACUCAAUACACCCUUUUUGUACCUCUCUUUACUCUUUGCUUAGUUUUUCCUUCUCUAUAAAAAUACUAAAUAAAGUCACAUAUUUAUGGAGUCCUAUUGGUUAACCCUAGACCAAUAGUUUCCCAAUCCUUUGUUAAGUUCAAAAGUAACUUACCAAAACAUACACACUAUAAAUAUUUACUCUCCAAAAAAUAAAUAUUAAAAUAAUUUGAGUCAAUGCACUCAACUGAAUCAUCGAUAACCAUAAUUUCUAGGGAUACAAAAUUGUUUAACAAGAUUAAUGCAUUUGUGAGGCUUAGAUGAAUCACAAAAAUUAGAGGAAAAUCUUUUGGGCAUUACCACAUAAAAGAUGUAGGACCACAUAUGCAUUUUCCUUAUAAAACAAUUGUCUUGACAAGCCACUUUAAAGCCCACUUGGGCUUGCCAUCACCAUUGAUGGACCUACAUCAUUACAUCAUUCAAAUUCUCGAUGCUCUUAAAGGUGGUAUCCACUUGAAGGUAAAAGGAUUCCAAUUUUUGUUAGAUUGUUUGUCUUUUCUAUCUGGAAACUAUUUUUCUUUUCUUUCUUUUUUAUAUCACAUUUACUCUCCUAGAAUGUAAAAUUCUCUGUUCUCUGUUCAGAUAUCAGCUUUCCAAUUGGAAUUAAUACAUCUAGUAUUCAAUUCAAUCCUCAUCCUUUUCUGGCCUCCUAAAUUCUAAACUUUGUCUAGGUUUUCCAGUUUUAAGAAAAAAUACAUCAUGAGGACCCAACAUGAUGGGAUUAGAUUCAAUGUUAAAGACAAAAUUUUCAAAUAAUCUGCAAAACCCCUCAACAUUUGUGGCUAUAGUUCACGACCAAGGUGGGAAUUAACAAUCUAAUAAUGCGGAUGAAUGCUUCAUUGACAGCUCUACCAGACUAGACUUCGACGGAAUGCAUGAUAACAAAUUUACAUGGAGAAGUGAGGACCCUUGGCUAGUUUCACCCCCAUGACCAUGGCCCAGCAGCCCAGCAGCUCAUUCAAUGUAAUCAUGGAAAACGCUUUUGACAAUGGUGGCCAUUGUGUUGAGAGUGCUCUGUCAAUUUGUUGCAUAGUUGGCCGAGAUUGGGGAUUAACAUGCAAGCAUGCAAAUGCUAAUUUGACUGCAAGUGCUACUUCCUUAGCCACUUAAUUCACAGGAGGUGGGAGCCGCUGGUCCAUCACAUCAUUCAACAGGCAAUGGUCCACAGUUGAUGGUGAUGAGGAUGAUGAGGACGCUGAUGAUAACAGGGAUAAGAUGAGUUCUUCAGGGUGCUUUCCCAUAAUUACUUCCAAUGUUACCACUCUGAAGCUAUGAACAUCGGUUUUAUUAUCCACCUUCAUCUUGUAAGCAAGUUUUGCAAAGAAGAUUAGCUCAUGCUCUUCUCUACUAAGCAAUUGUGAAAGUUACAUAUGAUGUAUAGAGGUCGUUUAGAGAUAAGCAAGGCACUAAGUAAAAUGUACCUGGAGCAGUUUAACCAAAAGUUCCUGCCAUUGAAGUCCAAUUAGACGAGUCUGACUUUAAAAACCUAGUCGUGCUGAAGUCAGAUACAUGAGCUUCAUAUUCUGAAUCUAACAACACAUUGUUGCUCGAUAUGUCUUGAUGAAUUAUGGGAGGUGAACAAUCAUGGUGCAUAUAGGAUAAAGCUUUAGCCACGCCUUUAACAACAUUUAGCCUCACCAUCCAAUCUAAUUUUUCUGCUUCUUCGUC
RNAcentral lists this long non-coding RNA (88354 nucleotides) under Vitis vinifera (wine grape). Its description in RNAcentral is "long non-coding RNA (VVIN_LNC003925)". The record is from RNAcentral. Lineage: Eukaryota; Viridiplantae; Streptophyta; Magnoliopsida; Vitales; Vitaceae.